RNAcentral lists this long non-coding RNA (80978 nucleotides) under Citrus sinensis (sweet orange). RNAcentral's name for it is "long non-coding RNA (CSIN_LNC002323)". The record is from RNAcentral. Lineage: Eukaryota; Viridiplantae; Streptophyta; Magnoliopsida; Sapindales; Rutaceae.
GUGUCCGUCCUCGUGCUUCUUCUUCUUCUCCUUCUUUUUCUUCUUCUCUUCACCGUGGGCGGCGCCCUCGCCGCCGCCGACACCGGGGAUCUUCUGCUUGAUCUUGUCCACCAAGCCCUCCUUGUGUUCGCCCUCCUUGUGUUCCCCGCCGUGAUGCUGCUGCUGAUGGUGAACAUCAGUAGUGCCGACACCGGGGAUCUGCUGCUUGAUCUUGUCCACCAAGCCCUCCUUGUGUUCGCCGCCGUGAUACUGCUGCUGAUGGUGGACAUCAGUAGUGUGGUGGUCCCCACUAUGGUGCUCUCCCUUGUGCUUGUCCUCCUCCUUUUGCCCUCCUCCCAUGUGAAGGGCUUCUCCGAUCUUGUGAAUAACUCCUGACAUUUUCCCUUAAAAUGACUCUGUUCCUCUUCUUUUCUUUUCAAUGAAAAAUAGUUGUUUGCGAUCUUCUUCUGGUUGUUGUUGUUCUUGUUGGGUGAUCUUGGCUUGGUAUUUAUAGGCUCCAAAAGGAGGGACUAGAAUUAGGAUUAGAUUAUAGAUUAUUUUAAUACAUUUUAUGGCAAAUUCUGAUUUGGAAAGAUAAGAUUAUCCUUUUGGUUUUCCUUAUUUACCCUUUUGCACCCAUUACGUGUACGCGUCUUCGUGGGCUUUUUGGGUAUUUCAAUUAUAUCGCCAAUGCUAAAUCGACACGUUGCAUAUCAGCCGCGGUACUGCCGUAUGUAGUUGUCCAGAAAUCGAGUCGAUUCUCGAUCGUACAAUAAUUAAAUAAUAUUUCAUACGAAAUGAGUUUAGAUAUAUUUUGAAAAUUUAUUUUUAAUUUAAUUAUACGUGUUAUAUAUUUGUUAAUCGAAUAGAGGUCCCACGUAACAGAGUGUUUCUCUAAUCUUUCAUUGCUUUUAAUUAAUUUUACCCAAAUAAAAAAAAAAAGGAAAAUUUAGAGAGAGAGAGAGAGAUAGCGAAUUAGAAGUUGAUUGUAAUAUCGACACCUGUCAGACAAUCAAAUAUCGUUAGUUAAAAAUCAGUUGUCCAUAGUCAUGGUCAUAGAUGGCGAAAUUGAUACUUAUUUUAAAAAACAAAACAAAACAAAACGAAACGAAACUAAACUAACAGAUGUUGAAAUGCAGUUCCGUGUUAACAGUCUGUGAUGAAUCUUUAUCUUUGAGUAUACCAUUCAAGAAAUUAUCAUUCAAAAAUUUAUUUAAAGCAGCAGCAAAUCACCUUCUAAUUCCUGAAUCAAAUUAAUUCGAUUUUUUUCGAGUCGAUCAAUUCAUUAGAGAAUUAACGGGCUAAGUUAAAGUUUUGUUAGUUAUUUUUUUUUAUAUUCCUUUAGAUGAUAUGAUUGUCAUUGUCUUUCUUUCUCUGGGCAACAAUAAAUACAAGAUGUGCAAAAGCGUAGUGGAACAUAAUUCGAUUAUGGGUAAAGGGAUCAGUCCGCAUAAUGAGGAUAAAGUUUUUCUCUUUAAAAAAAUUUAACCCAAAGAAAAGGUCGUAGUUUGUAAUAGCCGACACGCAGAUAGAUCACAAAGCAUGGCGGUCCUGAUGGCAAUAACUAACUGAUAUCUUCUGCGAUGAGAGGAGAUCACGUGGUUCUGACACGUAUCGCCCCAUCAACUGAUGUUGUGGCUGCAAUCGCGGCCCAGUCUUUAGAGAGAAGAAAGAUCUGUUAUAACGGGACCUACUUUAGCAUCUAUUUACGACAAAGCCCCUAUUUACUCUACUUAGUAGUAAUAAUAGCAAGUGUCGGGCUUGGAUUCCGUGUUGCUUUAAAUAAAUAUCCGCGUAAAAAGAAAAUGCUUCUUUAAUCCCUUCCUUGUAAUUUUUCGACACGUGGAUGGUUGAAAUUAGCGUGCCGACAUCUUAGGAAUUUUAUCUUGGAGACGGGAACACUGCAGUAGGCAAUGCCAUUUUCUUCGGAUGGUGUGUGGUGACAACGCCUUGGAUUUUGACGUGCAAAGAAUUUAAAUUGAAAAAGAAAAAAAGAAAUUACCAGAAUAAGCAUAGAAGAGAUAUUUUUCUUUUUGUCCUUUUUGGAAUGGAAAAAGAGAUCAAGAGAUUGUUCCAGUAAGUAUUACACAUGUCACAGGCUUAUUCAUGCCCCAUUAUGGCAACUUUUAUGCCUCGCGGUGCCCUCGGUUCCAGCAUAAUAGCUAAGACUUCAAUUUUUCUAACAUAUUUUUGUUACAAAUAUGAACGGAGUAAAUGUAUAACUUUAAUCCUUUGAAUAAAGAAAUGGCGGUUCUCCUGCUCGUUAAUCUCACUUGAAUCCCACCCAGGCAAAAUUUCUUUAUUUUAUUUAACAACAAUUUAAAGAAAGAAACUUUUGCCAGGUUGAAUUUCAAGUGAGAUUCAUUCGUGGGAGAAGUGCCAUUUCUUUAUUCAAAAGAUUAUGGUAAUUACAACUUUCAAUUUCGACAUAAAUUAAAAUUAUAGGCUAUACAAUAAAAUUGCCCUAAAUUAGUCCUAAUCAAUUCAGAUUAUAAAUUUAGGUAUAUUUAUUAUUUUAAUAUAUUAAUGUUCUAUAUAUAUAUAUAUAUAUAUAUAUAUAUGUGUGUGUGUGUGUGUAUNNNNNNNNNNNNNNNNNNNNNNNNNNNNNNNNNNNNNNNNNNNNNNNNNNNNNNNNNNNNNNNNNNNNNNNNNNNNNNNNNNNNNNNNNNNNNNNNNNNNNNNNNNNNACAGCAGAAAAUAUUUGCUAUGGAUAAGGAGACAUGGUCCCACGUCCCACCGUCCCAAUGCAUAUUUUGUAUGUUUCCAUCUUUUCUGAAAUUUUAAUAAAUAAAGUUUUUUGACCACUUGGCCAAAGAACCUUACCCUUACACAACUUUGUGGUUGGAGUCCUGUGAUACAUGUAAGAACUUAUUUUUUUUCUUAAUUAUAAUAUUUUAGAAUAUAAUUAAGUGAAGUAGGUUUUUUUUUUAAAUAUGAGUAAAAUAGAUAUUUUUUAAAUAUUAAAGAGAGUAAAAUUUGAAUAAUAAUAUAUUAAAAUUAAUACAAACUAAUUUUAAUAAUUAUUUAAUUAUAAAUAUCAAUUAUAACAUCAUAUAAUAUCAAUUAUAAUAUCGUACAUCUCAAUUAAUUCAAUAAUAAUAAUAAUAAAUGUUUUUUGGGAUAAGUAAACAGUCGCAUGGCGACAAUAGUGGAUCUGGAUUAGAGUGAAGUGGUCCCAAGAGGCUGAGGCUGUGGCUGUGGAGUUCUAAAAGUCAAAAGCUCCACGCACUUUGUUUCAGUACCAUACACACUGAAAAAAUUUGCAUUUGCAAUGACGAAAACUUUUCACGAAAUCAAAACACCUCUAAACUAUUUUGUUAUCGAUAUUUAAUGGAGGGGUUUCCUACCUUUUUAACACUCGAUUCACGCCUUGACGCAUCUCACAGAAAACCUCAUGAUCCCAUUAAUCUUGCGUAACAUAUCUCAAAGCCAAUGCAAGUGAUCUUGUUGCCUACUUCCCUUUGACGAUUCAAAAUUGUUGAAAAUAAUUCUUUUUUUUUUUAACCUCAAGGAAGUGACAAAAUAUAAAAGAAUAUUUUCUACACAUUAAACAUCUAGAUUUUUUUUUCUUUUCUUUUUAGAGUACUUGCACAAACCGUUUCCAAGAGAGACCUUUUUUUUUUUUUUUUUUUUCCGGGCUUGGUUACUAAUUUGGUGUGAAUACUCUAUGGUGAAAAAGGAAUCACAAAGCUGUAAUCAAUUUUUUUGCAUCAUUUAGUUGUAACUUGAACAUUGGGAGGUUUAUAAAGAAUUAAAUUAAUUAUAAUGCCUCUACUAGGAAAAGUUCAGAGUAGCCCUUCACAACUUUUUAAAGGCUUAAUAAUUUUCGCUUUCUUCCUCUCAUAACAUAACAAAAAAUUAAGAGCUUUACUCGUACACGUCCUAUGGCUAUAUAGUAUUGGGUUCUCUACUUCAAUCGGCUAUCUCAAACCGAAGGUUAUUUGGACACACCAGCAGUCACGUUUGGAAACUCUCAAAUGCUUGGAUUGUAAUUCUUGUGGAUGAGAUCAUCUAAAUCUUGGGCCCAAGCCGGACAAUGGGUGGACAAAGAACCCUAAAAUACAGUAAAGCUUCUAACACCCCACUAAAACUCUUAAGAAAUCCUACCUUUUAUUUUUAUAUCUCUUUCUUUUAGAAAUUAUAGAGAAGACAUAGCAUUUUAAUUAUUUUCCCUGCCAUUGAAAAUAAAUUCUGUAAACAUAUUUUUUCAUAAUAAAAUUAUUGUUAUUAGAUAAUUUAUUUCUUCAUUGUUUCAAAAUUAUUAUAAUUUUAUCAACAAAAUUAGUUAUGUCAUAUAUUAGGAUUAAAAUUAAUUAGGAUCCAUAACUUGUAAAGACAUUUUAGUUUAAUUGAAUUCAUAUUUGUCAUUUUAUGUAAUUUUCAAUAAAAAUACGACUAUGAGUGCAAAAGUGGGAUGACAUAAUAUUAAAAGAGUGUGAAAUAAUCGGUAAUUGAAAUGGAUUGAAAUCAUAAUAGAGUAUGAAAAUCAGAAUAAAUUGUUUACUUUAGUUGUAGAAAUCAAAAUUAAAAUAAACCAUAUUAUCAUUGAUGUAUAUAUGUUUUCUUGUAAUCGAAAUGAAUUCUUAUAAGUUACUAUAAGACCCUUAUGGUGUGUUUACUAAUCAGAAAUCAGAAUGGAGUGGAAUUUGAAUAUAGAAUGGUAGGGGUAUUCGCGGAUCGGAUUUUACGGAUUGGACAUUAAUUCAUAUCCGAUCCAUAAUUUUACGGAUUAUAAAUUCUCAACACAAUCCAAAUCCAAUCUAUAUGUUUGCAGAUCGGAUGCGGAUUUGACUCAAUUCAUAUCCAAUCCACUAUUUGACGGAUUGAUUUUGGAAUUAAAAAUUUUUAAUUUUGUCCAAUCUAUGAGGUAAUUAAAUUUAAAAAUCUAAUAUAAAAAUAAUUUAUUAAAUAAAAAAUUAACGUAAAAAUAAUUUUACUACCAAUUAAAUUCAAAAUUGAACAAGAUUUAAAUAAAUUAAUUAUUUAAAUAAAACUAGAAUAAUUUAUUUAAAAUUUUUAAAUAUAACAUAUCGAAAAAAAAUUCAUUUGUUUAGAUUAAUAUAUGAAAAUUAACUAAAAUUAUGAAUUUAAAUGUUGAAAUUUGAGAGCUUGGAUGUAACAGGAAGAAAUUAAGAAACUUGAAGAACUUGAAAAGAAAGUAACAAAUUAAGCUUAACUACCUCUAAUGGUGAAGUGAAACAGUGAUGGUUUGUGCGUGCAAUGGGGUACAAAUUUGGCAUUAUAUGCCAAAAUAUUUUGUUUGGCUUUAGAAUUUUUAAUGUUUAGGAAGCUAUAUUUGUUUAUUUAAUUACUCAAAUAUUUAAUUAUUUUUUAUUUUAUGUUAUUAUUGAAUAAGAUAUAAUAUUGUGUUAAUUUAGCUAUACUUUAAUUAAUUAAUUAAUUUAUUAGUAAGUAGCAUUGCUACAUUUAUAAGUUUUAUUUUUUAUUAAAUAAAUACUUUUUUUUUUCAGAUUCACGAAUUUUUACGGAUUUACAGAAAUAAAUCCAUAUCUAAUCCAUCGACUGUGGUUUUUUAAAUUUUCAUUCCAAUCCGAUCUACCAAUCCACAAAUUAUAUUUUUACGGAUCGGACGAAUUGAGCGGAUCAAAUUGGGUUCUGAACACCCCUAGAGAAUGAGAAUCAAAAUAAAUUAUUUACUUUAGUUGUGUGAAUCGGAAUUGGAAUAAAUUGUACUGUCAUUGAUGUGUUUACUUUAUCUUGGAAUCAGAAUGAAUAAUUUCAAAUUACUAAACUGACCUUAAUUUUUUAUUGUAAUAAUAAUAGUAGUAGUAGUAGUAAUAGUAGUAAUUUUCUAUUAUUAUUAUUAUUUUCUCUCUCUUUUGUUUUUAUUUUUUUAUUUUUCUCUUCUUCUUCUCUUCCUCUUUUUUUAUUUUUCUCUAAUUCAUCGAUACUUCUUCUUCUUCUUUUUUCUUUCGUUUUUAUUUUUAAUUUUUCCCUUCUUUAUCGUUCCUUCUUCUCCGUCCAUUCUCUAUCUUCAAACUCUUUUUACUUUUUCUCUUAUUCUUCAUUACUUCUUCUCCCUUUUUUUUUUUUUUCUCUUCUUUAUUAAUUCUUCUUCUUCUGCGUCUAUUCUUCAUCUUCAAAUUAUCAAGUGAAAAAUACCCACGGUGCCUUACAAGAAGAAUUGGUUUUGUUUGCUUCAAUUAUUUUUUGUAUUUUGUACUUUUGAUUGUUUCAAAAGAGGAUAAACUUGUAAUAAUGCAAUUUAAGUAGGGAUGUUUUAGACAAUUUUGGGUAUGAGAGUCUAAUUCCCAACCCCCCACUCCCUCGUAGCAGACUCCCAUUCUUCAUUCCUAACUUGGUGUUGGACCUACUAAAAUAAAUCCCAUUCCCCUUCUUAUUUCAAGAAGCAAACACGAUUUUGAUUUCAAUUCCCCAAUCCGAAAGUAAACGCACAAAAAUUGUACCCAUAUGAGAUUGCUUAUCCUCGAGUUUUUAGAUUGAAAAAAAAAAAGGAAAAAAGAAUGGCCCCAUUAGGAAGGGAUUUUAAGUGUUAGAUAAAGCCGGUGUUAACCAUUAGAAGGUCUCCGACCUUCAACUGUAAUAUAUUAAACCCAGAUAAAUUUACAUAUAAAUCACACAAACCAACAUGCCAAUCAAAUAAAUUACAUCAACUAACAACAAUUGACACAUUAAUUUUCAUAAUACAGAGGAUGCAGAAAAUUAAAAUGUUUUAUCUUUUCUCCUUAUUUGUGAAUUGGAAAAUGAAAAUGUUAAACAUACAGAAGAGUGAAACAGGAUGGAUAUAUAUACACACACACACACACACAGCUUUGGAGUUCAAUGUCAUCGUAUUGCUCCAAGAAGAUUGGCGCCAUCAAGCUUUGCACCUUCCAGAUGCUGUUUAAUCAUCACCAUAACACCUUCAGUAGACAUUAAUACAUAAUAGAAACACAAAAUUCACAUGAUCUGAAUGUCUGGUCUAUUUUACUUACCGUAUCUCGAAGAUUUACGUGCCGUAAAUAAGCUCUUUGAAGGUUGGCACCCUUUAAAUUGGCAUUACGUAGCUUUGCACCCUGCCGCAUAAAUGUUCGAAGUUUCAACAAAUUAAAGUCUCCUGAGAAAUACAUGUCACGAAAAAGUAGGGCUGAAACUUGCAUCUAAUGUACAAGAUUCAAUCAGGGGUGCUUGUCCCACAGUGAAAGUGUAUGGGGGAAAGUGCACUUUCACAAACCAAAGGGGCAAGAUGUGAUUAUCACACGAUUACAAAAGGACUGUAGUCAAGAGAGAGAACUGAACAUGCAGCUUGUAUUGAGGCCAUGAAAAUUGAUGAAAAGCAGUAACAAGCAACCAUUUUGAAAACACUUCAUAUGGUCGAAUCAAUAAAUCAAAGCUAAAAUGAUGUUGACGAUCGAUAGCUUUUAGGUGAUAAGAGUCUUGGCACUACAGUUAAAAUUAUUAUCUAGGAGUGCACACAUUAAUAAAAAAAAACACAACCAAUAAGCAUGCACUCUUAAUCAGCAUAUAAAUUAACAAGUUAGUUGCACCUUAUGUUGUUCCACAAACAGAUUGCUCGAACAAUUCACAAUCUUACCUUCAAAUUAGCUCCUUCCAAAUUAGCUCCCUCUAGGUUGGCAUUAGUAAGAUCAGCAGUCUGAAAAGUCAAGAGGACAAACAGAUUGCAAUUUGAUUAAAAUCUCAAAGUAGCAACAUUCUGCAUGAAAGAAGAGCAGCACAAUUGGCAACAUACAUUUUAGAUUAAGAGGAUGGGAUAAAAGCAAAAUUACAAGGACAUGAAGCAAAUGAGCCAUGUUUAGUAUGGCAAUUUUGACCCAAUAAUUGUGGCAGGUCUUGGAGAUAACAUAGGCAUACACAUAAGGCAGAAGCAAAUACUGUCGCAAACUCCUAGCUAACUACAAAUGUUCCAUAUAGAAAAAAACACCUGCAAAAGUAAGGGAAAAAGCAACAGAUAAAGAACUCAAGAUGCUAGACCUGUAAGUGUGCAGAUCGCAGGUCUGCUCCACAGAAGCUGCAGUCUAUCAAGCAAGCAUCUGCAAUGAUUUAAGAUAAAUUUGAAUCCAAAUGACAUUUUACCGCAAGUAGUUCCAGCCAUUUUGGGAACAAACAAGAAAUGCUAUUUUGUAUUCAUUGUAAUUCCUUAAGCUAAAUAACAAUCAUGUGCUAUCUUAACCAAGGUACAGUUGCAAAUUCUGAAAUUGUGAUGCCAUAGGUUGUUCUUAAUCUUUUUGAACUGAAUAUUGAAAAAAUAUUCCUUCAAUCAUAAAUGUUAAAUAAUUAAAAGAACUGUGAGGGGGGNNNNNNNNNNNNNNNNNNNNNNNNNNNNNNNNNNNNNNNNNNNNNNNNNNNNNNNNNNNNNNNNNNNNNNNNNNNNNNNNNNNNNNNNNNNNNNNNNNNNNNNNNNNNNNNNNNGGGGGGGGGGGGGGGGGAAUGAAUAAGCGGAUGCAUACAGAAAAUUAUGGAAAAUCUGUUAUGGAAAUAAUAUGAAAAUGGGUAUGCAUAACUACAUACUGAAUCUUGACUAAUUUCAAUUUAAUUCAGAUAAGAAAUUCCAGUAUGGGAAUUGCCUUGUAAAUUUGCACUCUGAAGAUUUGCACCAGCUAGUAAAGCUCCACGAAGGUUUGCCCCAGCAAAUUCACAUCUUCCCUAGGCAAGAUAAAACCCUUAAAAGGCAAUUUUGAAAAAUACAUAUAAUUGGGAGAAUAUCCAGUAUUGCUUUGACUCUCUUACUCACGCAAAGUUGCAUUGUGAAAAAUGGAACCCUCAGCAUCCACAUCCUGUAUCAAGAACAGACAGAUUCAGUAUGAUUAAUAUAACUGGUUGCUGGAAGACAGGACAAAAUCGCAUCUUGUCACUGUCAACUUGCAUGUUAAGAAUUAAACACGAAAACUGCAUGCUGUCCAAUUAUAAGAAACCUAUAAAAUUCAAAUCAACAUCAAUACUGGCUUAAGGAAGAUAUAAAAAUAAAAAUUAUACCAACCCGAAAUUUCGCAGAUUGAAGAUUUGCACGUGAGAAGAAAACAUUUCUAAGACACGCAUAGCUGAAGUCCACAAGUGAAAGAUCCUGGCCAUUUUAAUAAGAUAGCAUCAGAGGAAACAAUAUCUAAUGAAUAUAUAAUGUUCUUUCUUGCUUAUCUGAGAAUACUAAUGAGAUUAUCAAAAAAACUCUAAGCUACUGCUAAGAAGUCUUGUGUUACAUGAGUAUGAAUUGAGGAGGUAAAGAAGACCCUUCUCCAAUAAGUUACCAUAGAAGCCACAUAAAACCCUAAAGCAGUUACAAACUUACAAUGACCAGAAUAAACCACCCCAACUAUCUAUUGGCAAGUAAAAUCACUUCUCUGGAUUUCUGAAAACUAGCAAAACAAAUGCAUAAAUUGGCAAAUUCGAUGAUUUCCUCUGAAAACCAAAUUAUAGCAGACAUAAAACUUGGAAGUAUUCAUAGAAUAAAAAUCUUUCAAGCACCUCAAUUCAGUAAUUAUUACCAGCUUAGAAAGAUCAAGGCCAGAAAGAUUAAGUCCUCGAAAUCUGACUUUUUCAGACUGUAUACACUUGAUGAUAUCAAUGCGUGUUAGCUCAGUAUCUAACUCAUUAUCUUCCUUUCUCUUAUUUAUGACAGCAUGGAUUCUCUCAAUUAGUCCCUGAAAUGAAACACAUUAGAUGCAAACUAUUAUUUGAAAAAAGAAAUACAUUUUAUCCACUAACACACAUGGAUUUCAACAGCAAUCAUACAAUAAUUGAGGAAGGACGGUCAUAUCAGACUCAUCUGCCAAGAUUCAAUAAGCACAUCAAACUUGUUUACAUGUAAUUUCCACAUUCCACGUGAAUUUAUAAGGUCUGCCUAAGCAAACCAAAGAAGGCUACACUCAGUACUGUGUGUAUACUGCCUUACCUUUGCUGUUCCCCAGAUACCGUCCUGCAAUCCAGAUACUUAGCUGUGAAGUUUCAAGCCAGCGAAACCAUUUUAAAAGUACACAUGGACACAGAUACCAUUAUCUGAAUCAUCUUCGAUAACAAAUUAAAAUGCCCUAGCGUUCAAAAAACUUAGGAUCUCUUUAAGUGAAGUUCCUUUAAAAAAGUAGAAAAAAACUGAACAACAAUGUCAUGCUAAUAAAAGGUAAAAAAAAUAAAAUAAAAUAAAGCAUAAGGACAGAAGUUCACCAGGAGCAUGCCAGUAUAAACCAAAACGACCACAAAUCUCAACCAUAAAAUUUAAAGUAGUAAAGUAAAUAAUCAAGGGCAUGCAGUUGGCACAGGUGCUUCCAAAUAAAAUGAUGAUUCUUUUCAAACAGAAAAAAGAAAUGGAUGUUAAUAAACUAGAAGAAACCAUGUCUUACAAGUAAUUGAUAAUAUUCUGCUUCCCGUAGAAGCUCUAAAAACUCUGACUCUGUUAAUGUGGGGACAGCCCCAUCCCUUAACCAAUUCAGAAUAUGCCGAAAAUGUUUUCCGUCCCUAUCAACAAAGAUAUAGCCCUGCAAUAAUUCAAUAUGCUCAAAGAUAAGAAUCUGAAUAAUAUACCCAAGAGAAGUGCUUUUCCCUGGAAUAAUAAAAAGAAAAUAAGUCAAAACGUUUUUCUUAAUGGAAGAACACAAAGGAACAGCUCUAUGACUAACAUGAAAACCAUAAAUCAGAAUAAGAACCCAAAACUGGUCAUUUGGAGUUUCACCAGAUCAAAAAGAUCACAUGGAAAUAAAAUUGUGAAAAUGGGAUUAUUUAUGCCGAGGUCAUGGCUAAACUGCAAUCAUUACUCCAUUUUUGGUAGAAGGAGAAGAAGAAAGAAGAGUAGGUGAGUCAUCAUUCUUUCAGGUGAGUCAUCAUUCUUUCUCUGUGAUUAAUUGAUAUGAUGGAAGUGUUGUAGAUAUUAAUUUGAUAGUGAUUCCUCCCUUCAAAAGAAUUCAUUCCUUUUUUUAUUAUUUCACAAAGUUUAACUAAGACUGAGUUUUCUCAAUUUGAAGGCAUCGUGCACUCUACCCCUUUCUUUUCCUCACAUUGCUUCUUCCCAAUCCCAAAGGGAAGAAAUCAAGAAACAAUUACAAUUUUUAACUAUUCACCAGCAAAAACAAGGCAAAGAAAGAUGCUGAGUGUAAGCAAAAAUAAGAGAGUUAUACACCUCAGAGUCUUGGCACACAGUAUGGCGACCGCUGAACAUAGCUGCAAGCAUAGAUUCAGGCUCACGACGAGUCAGAGUAUCAAUUGUUGUAUAAAAUUUCUUUCCCCCUGGAUAUUAAUACAUAAAAUAUAAAUUUGUUCACUUAAAAGCAUGAAUUGUGCAAAUUUGUCAAUAAUGUCAUUCUUUCACAAACGUUCACCGAAAUGUAUAACAAUAAGUGCAUCAUAACAUAACUAAACGGCUUAAGAACUGCGCAGAUAUUACAUACAGUAGAGAAACAAGAAAUAGAAAAUGAGAUUUGCCCUUUUUAAACAGAAAGCAAUCAAAGAGUAAACUAAAGAGCUAAUAAUUCACAAAAUUCAGUUGAUUAAACUCAUUUACAAGUAAUUAGCAACAAAAUCCAAGCUAAAUAAAAAUAAUGAAAAUUAGGUUCUUAUAACAUCCGUCAAUUCUAUGAAAGUUUACCACGAUCAGCAACAAAUAGAUAAAUCGCAAUAAAGAAAAACCGACGACAUGUCGGUUGUGUAGUGCAUAAGUAAAGGAAUUUGCAGAUGAUGUAAAGAGAAUGAGGGAUAGUAACUGACCGAUGUUGAGACGAACCAUUGAAGACGAAUCGGAGUCCUUCGCCAUUGUCGAGUGUAAUGACUUGUCGUCUUACUUGCGCUCAUAGGUAUUUAUAUCAUAGCUGACACUGUUCGAAGGACAGCAAGGAUUUGGUGGGCACAAAUGCAUUUUGGAAAUUGGGCUUCGGCCCAAGAAAUCGAAAAUCAGAGGCUUUUUUUUAAAAAAAAUUUAAAAGGAUUAGAAUGUCUAUAAAUUAAUAGGGCUGAGACCAUCUUAAAUCUAUUAAGUAAAAGAGAUAUUAAAUAUUUUAUUAAUUAAUAAUUUAUUAAUUUACAGAAUUAUUUAUAAUUCAAUUAACAUACAUUUAAUAACUAAACAUUCAAUGUACAUAAUUUCUGAUUACAAUUCAAAGCACUAACAAUACUUCAUAAUUUCUUAUUACAAUUCAAGAAUUCAACCUCAUAGCUUUUAGAUGCAAUAAGAAAAAUAAGAAAUAAGAUUCAGUUAUAUUUAAAUUUUAAGAAAAAAACAAUAAAAUCAUAUUUUAUGUAAUUAAAAUAUCAUAGUCAACUACAUUUGUAAUUUCAACAAAUUAUUACUCUAUGAUUUAAAUGAGACCACAAAGUUAUAUAAGAUUUUAUCGAAAUUAUUAAUUUAAUCCAUUAGUCCAUGUCAAGACCUUGAAAAUUUAAUAAUUAUAUAAUAGAGAUUAUUAAUUUAUCGAGUAUUAAUUUAUAGAAGUUCUGAUUGUAUAUUAUUUUAUAUUAAUAAAGAAUAAAGUAGCAUUCUUUUUUAAUUCCGAAGUAAUAAAAUUAUGGCUAAAUUAAGAGAGUAGAUAUAUUUUAUAACUUGGUUUAAUAACAUCACGCGCCUCCCUUGUAGUUUUGCAGCUUUGAAGCUUUAUAAUGAAUCCUAUUAGCUUUGGCUGGAAAGUUAUAUUGUUAAAGAGAGUUUAUAUAUUAAACAAGGUGAUCUAAUAUUUCCAAAACUAAAUUUGGGAUCAAAAAUAGAAAACAUUUGCAUGUUUUUACCUUUUGGAAGAAUUACUUGAUAAGUGCUUCACAGAAAAAUGCUUGCUAUUAUAGAGCACCCUAAAAAAAAUCCUUAAUAAUUGAGGGAUCAUAAUAAAGUUCAAUUCUAAAUCUGUCAGAUAGAUCGAAAGUAACAAACCAUAUAUAUUUAAAUCUAUUUAGUAAUCCAGGGUUACAAGCCAAGCGUGCAAUAGCCAAUUCUGAAAAUCAAAGCUCAGCCUAUGCUCUCUGAGCACAAAUAAGAUCUGAUAUAUACAUAUCGAAUCCUCCAUUAUGUGGAGUGAAAUUUCCAUCGUGUACGGUGUACCUAACAAUGAGAAAGCAUGGCAGCAUAAAUUCAUCUUCCAUGUUAUUCUACUUAUUAGUACUGGUUCCCUCAUAACUUCUCCAAAUCGGGGAGGUCUGCAAUGUGUAAAGCACGUAAUCAGAUAAAAGAAAGAGAGCCAAAAAAAAAAAAAAAGGUAACAGCCAAAAGAUUAAAUUUCUUUGAGAAAUAGAAAAUGGGAGCUUUUGGCAUAGGCACAGAAUAGAAAGUAACAGAGUCAUUUACAGUUGUUCAGAAUAUGCAAGCUGAAAACAACUUUGAAUGCAAUGGACAAUUCCUCCAACAAACAAUCGAAUUGGAUUGUGGAAGAGACAAAAGCUUAAUGAGGUUAUGGUUUUGGCUAGGUGAACUCAAAAUUCUUUUAUAGACCAAGUAGGUAAAAACAAAUCCCAUAUAGAUGGAUGAACCUCAUACCAUGAACAGUUAAUCGCGAACACUUGCAGGCUUAUGCACACGACUAUGAAGAUACUAAGGGUUUCACCGAUGGUAAGUGAAAAAUAUAUGAUGUAUAAUUUAAAUGGAAGCACAUAGUUUCGGAUUGAAUUCAAGGUUAAAGUUCCACAGACAGACAGAAGAGAUGAAGCUUAAAAACUUACAGAGCAUUCCUUCAUCAUCACUGCUUUCAUCAUUUUGGCCAACAUGCUGAAAAAAGAAUAUGAUUCAAGUUAAAUGAUUGAGCAACAAUAAAAAACGUGCAAAAUUAAUGCUCUCUCCACAAAAAUUUCAGUCUAUAUUGGUAAGAAGAAACAGGAAGAAAAAAUUACCUCAGCAUCAUCGUCAUUGGAAGCCAAAUCAGCUGUAAAGACCACAAAAUGUUUGGUUAGAACCAGUGGAAGUCUUACUCUAAAAUUUUUAAUUUUUGAAUUUCGAAAGAUCUCGUAAUGACAAAGAUUUUCAUAUCCAGUGACCAAGUUUUGAAAAUUAGAAUACGGAAUGACAUCAACUAAAUUCACUAAUAUAAGCUAGAGGAAUCCCUAGUAGAUAUAGCGCACAUGCACACAUGAUAUGCAUCCGAAUACACAAUAAUAAAUUAUCUCAAAGUCAAUAAGAAGCCAAAAUUAGAGAUAAACUUUUAGCCACUAUAAGGAAGACUGAUAUUUGCAGUGUGAUUACAAUAAACAAACAGAAACUUCACUACCCAUAAGUAAAACAAAAUAAAUAAAGGAUAAUAACUAACCAAGAAAUGGAAAAGCUCACAUUCUCUGAACACGCACCCCAAAAAGAAAGAAAGAAAUAAAUGUUCUCAUUGGAUCUGAAGCACAAGCAAUCCACUGACAUCCUUCUAUAAUUAGGUAAUUUAAAGGGGUUAAGCUCACAUCUUUUACGGAAGUAAGAAGAGAAUUAACAACCUUCCAGAGGAUUUAGGGAAAUACCACGAGGCAAGAAAAAAGAAAUAUCCUUCUUCAAUCUAGAUAUCCUGAUACUGCUCACCAUCUACAACAGUCUGUGGCUUAAAAAGCAGGUCACUGAUCUCUCCCUCCCUCUGGCACCAUUUUCUCUCAUGUCUCAUUUUUCCCUUCCUGCCAACUCCCACUACAGUAUUGAAACCUAUUCUAUCAACUCUUCCCCCUCCAAUAACAAGACCAAAACCAAUUUUACUCGCCGGUUAGCUAGGUAGUAAAUGGAAAUUUGUGAAUCUGUCAUUCAUCCGUAGAAACAAACCAGAACUGCAUAAAUUCUCUUCUCUCCCAACAGCUUCUUUUCUCCAGAAAUAGGCACAAGUAUUUGACAUGGAAACAGUUUAUCUAACAUGGCCACCUUUAAAGACAAAGACAUACUAAGGACGUGGUUUUAGAUACGGAUACAAGAAACAAUCACAAAAUGUAAAAUCUAUACAUAUGAUAUUAAUUUCCAAUGGAUACAGCAAUUCAUUCUUUGACAUAACUUCAUCAGAUUACUAGGUUUGAUUAGGUUAUACACACAUUUAUUCAUUUAUUGAAUCUACAUGCACUUAGAAUGAGAGGUACCUAUAAAAACAAGUUACCAGAAAACAAUACAGCUAGAAAACAUUAAUCUAAGUAGUUCUAUAGGUUUAACUAACUGCAGGAAAAAACCAUUGAUUUUGUCCGCCAGAUUAUCGAGAUCCUAAUUCUGGUAAAAAGAAAAUGAGAUAAUAGAAAAUCAAAAAUUAAAUAGACACAAAAUGAGAAAUCAAGAUCAUAUGGCAACUAAUAUAUAGCAUGGGCUGCAGCUAACAAGCAAUAUAAGCCAUGAUAUUAUGCCAGAUACAAAUUUUGAGAUCCAAGAGAGAUCAAGAAGCAUGAAUACCACUAAAAUAUCGAAAGAAGUGAGUGCAGAAGGAUAAGAAAUCAGGUUGAUAUUCUUCAUACUUUGGAUCAACACGUAGUGAUGCAAUAAACUUGUAAUUAGCUUCAAAUGUAUAGGCUACCAUGUCAACAUUUCCGAAAACACACAAGAUUGUGCUGGAUUCAUACAUAGUACAUAUAUAAAAAAACAAUCUGCUUCUAAACUUCAUGAGAACAUCGAAUAAUGAACUUACAAUUUGAUCCCUCAUCAUCUUCAUCGCACCAUUUGUUCCAAUCAACCUUAAUGUAAGGUGCUGGUUUCUCUUCUGACUUGAGUAGCCUUUUCCACCAACCUUUCUCUUCUUUUUGGACCGAGCAUAUUAUGUUCCUUAAGCCAACUUUAGUCUUACAUUUCUGCACCACCAGCAACAAAACUCAAAGCAUUACAAAAGAGGUAUAUUUAGCCGCUCUUGACUCGAGUGAGAGAACAGGAUAAAUAGCCUAGGUAUAUCCACAUCCAUGUUAUGAGAUUGAUUAUGCAACAGCUAACUUUAAUAUAAAGCUUUUGCUUCAACAAAGACUAAAAUGUUUGUAAUUGUUAUGCUUUUGGAGCUAAAAUGUUUGGCAAACACCCACUUUUACUCUGCACCUAAUAUCUACCACCCACCCACACACUAAGUCUCUCGUUUGGUACAGCUAUUUAUCAGUAGUGGCUUUAAGCCACAACAUUUAAAGCGAAUUUACCCUAAAAUUUUACAAUGAAAAACCUAUACUACCUUUAACAUUGUUGUCAAAAUUAUUAUUAUAAGUAAUAUUUACCAAACACUAUCAACUUCCAAUUCAUAUCAAAGAGCUUUCACUCCACAAUAGCCGUGUCUUCUUAAGCCAGAACAACACAAUACCAAAGGCCUUAAGCUAGUGAUUUGAUUUCACAACAACUGCAGAUCAAGCCUCAAUCCCAAACAUACAUAAAUCAAAUGCAGAAAGCAAAAAUUUAACAAUAUGUUUGGUAUACUAAAUGUCUUUCAUAGUUUCAUUUCACAGGGUAUUUAGACAUGCAAUGAUAAAUUGGAGCAAUUUCAAGAACCGAAUUGACCUCAGGUAAAAUUUUGCCAAAAAGUUCCAAGCUGAAGUCGUAAAGCUCGCCUUGGACUCCGACGGCCGAGAAGCCAAAAAUCCCCUGAGGCUCGCAUUUCACAGAAAUGUCUUUCGCAUCGGGUAAUGAAAUGGUAAGGUAUACUUUAUCGGAGCGCUGAGCCCAAAGAACCUCCGGAUGGCGACUGAACAUAAAAGAAAUAAUAAUAAUAAUAAUAUUAUUAUUUUUUAUUGUGACAAUUUUGAACUAAUAAUUAGAGACAUUUAACAACAAUAUUGAUUAAUAUUGGAGAAGAAAAAUAAGGUUACAAGAGAGAAUCAGAAAGAUUACCUCAUUCUGGUGGAUGAUUGAAAACGGUGGGUCGAUUGAUGAACAGAAGUGUAACUGUCUGGGAGUGAGAGUGACUCUGCUGUUUACUGGGUAGAGUGUGCUUACUCGAAGAAAUUGAAAGUGAUAAUCUCGGGCAAGCCAACACGUCGAUUUGGUCAACAGUGGUCCAACAAACCAGGAACUAGGUUUUUUUUUUUAAAUGAUUUUUUUUUUCAGUAUUAUAUUGCCCCGCCCGUGGGCUAUUACAUUUUGGCCCUUUUGGGGACCCCUCGUUCUCUUACAAGAAGGGAAUAUUCUUUUCCAUCCACCGGUUUGUAGGCAGAGUACAUAUACUCUUCGAAAUUAAGGACAAAUUUCUGAAUCGUGCCGCAUUAGAAUUAAAUUGAGUCUCAAAAGAAUUUUGGUUAUAAGUAUAUCGUUCAAACGGUAAUAUAUUAAAAAAAAUAAUAUUUACUACAAUGUAGACCUAUCGGGACUUUGAAGCCCAGACCAAUUCUUGAGUCUAGCCUAAUAACACCUCAACAGAUCAAAAUUGAAAUCCAACUUAAAUUUCAAUAUUGUGUAGGGAUCUGCCUUAAUUUAGAUAUGUCAAGACCUGCCUUAGGCAUCAAAGUGAUCUAUCUUAACAUAACUAAGACUUUCUUUAAACAUCACAAUGAUUUAUCUUAACGUAGUCAAAUCUAGCCUAAAAAAAUCUAAAGAAGGAAAAAAGAAAUUAUUUUCACGUAUUGAGAGACUUAAAUUCUUAACCUUAUUCAUAAGAAAAAAAAGUGUAUUACUUAACUAAAUCGUGACUAAAAAUUAUAAUUAUUAUUUUUUGUACAUUUAGCUUUAAAAAAUCAUUAUAUAUAUAUAUUCAUAUAAGUUUUGACAUAAUAUACAUACCACUUAUUUGUUUUUUAAAUUAUACGAGAAUGAAAAAACUCAAGCAUUAAACACCAACUUUUGUUUCAUGCUAUCAAUCAACUUGAGAAAUUUUAUAAUAUAUCGGAAGUUCUACGUCACAAUUUAAUACGAAGCCUUCGAUUAAUAAUAAUUAGACACAUGACAAUAGAUGCUAGAGAAAUUUUAAAUUCCCUCUUUUCAUUAUCCCUCCAAAUUUAGAAUUUCAAAAAAUUAGAGAAUAAAUGUUGCUUGCUCUCUUUGUUAUCUAAUUCUAAUUAUUAUUUUUUUCUCUCUCUCUCCAAUCAAGUUGCUAGCAUUUUUUAAAUCUAUUGAAGAAUAAGAAGAAGGUUUUUGUCGAUGAAAUGAUUUUGGCAGCCUUUUUUACCCAAAGCUAACAUGAUUGCUGCGACUACCAAUGAAGAAAAAGAUGUGUUUUGCUGGCGAAGAAGAUGAUUUUUGAAGCAUGAGUGGCUGCCGUUUAUUUUUUUCCUUCAUAUUUUUCGAUGUAGUGGCUGUCCUCAAGUUUUAUUCAUUUACUUUUCAGUUGGCCUACUAUUUAUUGGCAUAAUGAAAAAUUUUAUUUUAAUAAGCAUUUAUAGAUUAAUUUGAGGAGGUUUCUUUUGCAAUAUUAGUGUGGUUUCUGCAUUGGUAUGAUUUAAAUUACGAACUUGCUACAAUCUUUAAUUAAACUGUCAAAAGUAAUUUAAAAAAUCUUUAAUUAAACCGUCAAAAGUAAUUUAAAAACUGACAGUAGAUAGAUUAGAGAUAGGCUUGACAAUUUAGCCCGACUCUAUUUUUAGUCUGAUUGAUCCGAUCCUAAUUUUUAAGACUUUGGCCUGAAUUUUUUGAUUUCGGGUCGGGUUCGGGUCAAAAUUUUAAGGCCCGAACAAAUUUAGGGUCAGGGUCGGACUUAAAACCAACCCGACCCGACCCUAUUUAAAAAAAAAAAAACUAACACACGCACACAACACAUGACAGUUCACUCUCUCUAAAUCGUAAAUCACACACACAAAAUACACUUACACAAAUUCACAAAAACCCUAAGCCAGCCACCCAGCCUGCUGCCGUCCUAUCAGCCAACAUCGUGACCGUCCGCCGCACGCCAGCCAAUCAGCCGUCGUCUCGUCGUCGCAUGUCUCACCAAUCAGCCAUCGUGACCGUCUGCGACGCUGCGACAUGAACUUGAACCAGCCGCCCUUUGUCGCCGUCCUGCCGCAUCCGCCUGCCAGCCAACGAUCAAUGCACACAGUUGAAUUGUGGGGUGGGAAAUGGUUUCGAUAGGGUCGGGCUCGACCCGACCCUAACUAUAAAGAGGUAGGGCUUUUUUAGGGUCGGGUUUUAAUUUUUUGUUGAUCGGGUCGGGUCGGGUUUGGCCAAACCCGAGCCCGACCCGACGUUUUGCCAUCCCUAAUUAGAGAUGAAGAUUGGAGAGAGAGAAAAAUAUAAUUUGAAUGAGAUAAUAAAGAGAGAAGAAAUUCUAUAAUACAUCAUAAGUAAUAUAACUCAUUGAUGUAUGCAUGAUAUAUGUAAUUAACCUUAAUAUAACUAACACUUGUAUGGUGAUAUUUCAAAAUAAAUAUACAUAUGUUAUAAAAUCAUUUACUUAUUGUAUGACUGACAUUUUAUUUUUGAUGUAUUGUACAAUUUCUCAGAAGAGAGUAGUAUUUAUUAUCUCUAAUUUUUUGAAAUUCUAAAUUUUGGAAGGAUAAUAGAAAGAGAAAUUUUAAAAAUUUUUCAACGUAUAAUGCCAUGUAUCUAAUUAUUAUUAGUCGGUGUUCCACGUUAAAACGUAAUAUAGAACCUCUGGACCUUACUGUAUAAUGUACUGUAGAAUUUCCUGAUCACACACUUUCUCAGUUGCAAAAGAGGUGGGCAUAUGAGUUCCUUACGGGGAUUUAGUGUGAAUCCACGCAAAGCCCAUAUAGAUUUUUCCGGUUAACCGCUAUGGCAUCCUAGUUUUAAACUCAGUACUAAAUUUACAGAUCCAUUUAAACCCCCCAAAUCAGUCUCUCACCGUCUCAAGUCUCAAACAAAAAACCUGACCGGAACCCAAACCGCCAAAUCCGAUUCGAUGGUGGACUGUGCUAAAACCCCUAAAAUUCCAAGACUGACAUGCGGUAAAGGAGAUGGUGAUAGACUUAGCAAUCUUCCGGAGCACAUCAUUUAUCACAUAUUCUCGUUCAUGGAAACAGUUGAUGUUGUUAGAGCAAGCACUGUUUCGCGAAGAUGGAGGUACUUGUGGCUUUCCGUUCCUUAUUUGAACUUCGACUAUCACACAAUUUGGUCAGACCCGGAAAGUAGAUGGUCUCGUAGGAAAAUCAAUGAUAAGUUCAAAGAUUUUGUCAACUGGGUAAUAUUUUCUCAAAAUGGGUCUGUUAAUAUUCAAAGAUUUCGUCUUUGCUGCUGGGAUUAUUUAGCAAGUUACGAUAACGAUAGAACGAUUUACAGAUGGGUUUCUGCUAUGGCACGUCGAAACGUGCAAGUGCUUGAUCUGGCUAUAGCUUCACUAUACCCAUUUGAGUUUGACUUGCCACAUAGUCUUGUAACUUGUGAUUCAUUGGUGGAACUGAAGUUGAGUUUGAGCUUUCAUGUUCACCGAUGUUUUUUAAAGCUGCCUACUGCUGCUGGUUUUAUUGGGCUCAAGUCUCUUGAUUUACAAAGUGUUGCGUUGGAUGAUAAUUUGUUUCCUGAAUUUAUUUCAAAUCUUCCCCUGCUUGAGAAUUUGUGUAUGUUGUCAUGUGUUUUUCCUGAAUUGAAGGUUCUUGACAUUUCUUCCACUAAUUUGAAGAAUUUGGCUCUGGAAUCCAUUGUUGGCAAUGAUAAUGCUGGCAAUGAUGAUGCUGGCAAUGAUGAUGCUGGCAACUACAAGCUUAAGAUUGCUUGUCCAAAUCUUGUGUCUUUUAAUUAUAUAGCUUUAGCUCCAUGGUUACCUCACUUUGCUUUUGAGAGCUUAAACUCCUUGCAAAAUGCAUUCAUUGACCUGGAUGAUUAUAACGAGGAUGACAUGGAGAACGAAAGAUGUCAUGUUUUAUCUACAAUCUUCAAUGACUUUCGUGAAGUUAAAGUUUUGAAAUUAUCAGAAGCCAUUCUUCUCGAGGUAUGAUUUCAAAUACAUUCAUUGCACCAAAUCAUGAUUCUGCCAGAACUUGUCUACACUUUUUUAUUUUGACAUUAGAAAUGAAGCUUAAGUAAACUGAAUCUACUUUCUUUGUUUGGUAAAAUAAGAAUUCUAUUGAUUAUGGAACCUUCCUAAAUGCUAAUUUGUUCUUUAGACUGUGUAUAAGUCAUUGUGACAUUGUAUGAAGUCUCAUUUAUCUGAGUAAUCAAUUGUUAUUGAUGUCAAAGACUAGAACUCAUUGGUGACUUGAGUUUAUGUAUAUUAUCGUUUGUUAGAUUUUUUGUGUGAUUAUUGCACUUAACUUGACUAAUGUAUUCUCUUUCUUUUUGCCAUUGUUCCUCCAGGUUCUUGAUCCUGAUCCUGCUCACGAAGAACCAGCAUUUUUUUCCACUUCAUUCAAUAAUUUGAAGUCCUUAAUACUUUCUGCAGGUCCGGGUGUAUGUCUCAUGCCAUCAAUGCUUAGGUUGCUCAACUGCUCUCCAAAUCUAGAAGCUCUUGCAAUAUAUUCUCCUAAGGUAAUCUUAACACCAAAAACUAUUCCAUUUGUUAGAUACCGUCGCUUCUAUCCAUUUUUUUUAAAAAUCAUAUCUCCCAUUUAUGUGCUAAAAUUUUAAUUUUGUUAAAGUGCAACUGGGCUUUGCUUAAAUUAUCGCAAUAGAGUUGAAACCUGAAAGUAUUUGUGAUAUAUUAUGUUUACCGCUUAGAGCUUAAAGUAAAUGUUAAUCUUGUGGCCUCUUGGUUGUUCCCAUGCUAUUGCUUGUUGAGCAGAUGGUUGAAUUUAGAGUCAAUCAAUCGGUUGUGUUCUUCUGAGGUUUGUGCAAGUUUUGUAAAAGAGCAAAGUUUAGUAUUUGUUUAGUUUGUGAAAAUGAUAUAGCUUUUUCUAAUUCAUCUUACUCUAUUCUUUGCUUAAAAAUGAAUUCUCCUUUUGAUUUGAUUCCUUGACUGCAUUUCGGUCUGUUUUCUCUUGGCAGCAUCGGCGUGGAUAUAAUGCUUAUAGGAAAACACCGAACAAGGCUGCUAUUUCAUGUUUGACAAAUCAUCUCAAGACAGUUGAAAUAAAACAUUUUAGCGGUGAUAUGAAUCAACUUGAAAUUGUGAGGUUUCUUCUAAGGAAUGGACAUGUAUUGCAGAGAAUGAGUAUUAGAUGGGUGGCAGAUGUUAAGAAUCAAGGGAAGAUUAUCUCAAGGAUAAUGAAGUUUCGGAGAUCAUCUUCAAGUGUUGUGCUGAAAUUCCUAGAUCCUAAGCCAGCUGAUGAUUUUUCAGAUUAUUUAUUUGAUGAUGAGCAAAAGAACUAAAAUUAUGUUUAAAUUAAAAAAAAAAAAAGUGGUUUAAGUGUAUGUUCGAAUUAAAUAGUCUUUUGGAUUUGUAGAAACUGAAAGGAGUACAGUGCCAGUCACUGUGGCAGCCUUAUGUUUUGUUUGAAAAAAUUCGGAAGCUUCUAAAUUGUUAUAUACCUCAAUUCUGAAGUCGUUAGUAUGUAUAUUAUAAGCAAUACAUAUGUUCCAUUUGUCAUAUUUUAUUUUGGCAUUACGAUUGUUUUGUCUUGAUUAAUAUUGAUUAUAAUUUGUUUAACAUUUAUCUGGCAUAUGUAGAAUUAUACUUUAUCUGAGUAGAUGACGCUGCUGCGUACAUCUUCAGGACUCGGUCAUAAACUGUUUAUCUCUGCGUCUGUCUAGCAUCCAUCCACGUAUGACCUGUCGGCUUUUUGCCCGCAAGCAUACAGUUAGGGGUGGUAAAAAUAUCUGUCCGGUCUGGAUUCGGUUCGCACCCGGAUGUUUUAUCCGGCCCGGUCUUGGGCAUCAUUUGAUAAAUUCGGAACCCGAGUUUUAUUAAGCGCCUUGGCCGUACAGCAGUAUAUUAUUUUAAAUAUUUAUAUUUAUUUGACUCAUUUAUUACAUAUAUAUAAAGUUUUAGACACUUAAAGUUUAUAUUUUCAUGUCAAAUUUCAUUAAAAUAAAUUUAAAACUUAUAAAAUUACCAAAAAAUAAAAAAUAUAUACAUAUAUAAUAUUAAAAAAUAUAAAAUCUGGGUACCCAAAUUAAAACCCGGCACAAUCCGACCCAGGCAUCUAUGCAUCCGGGUCGGGUCCGGUCAUUACGAUACCCCGACCCAGCCCAGGGUUUUGCCAUCCCUACAUGCAGUGUAUAUGAAUUGCAGUUCUUGUACGGACAACAUGUCAUCCAUAAAACUCGAGUUAUGUUCUUUUUAAUCUUUAGUUUAGAUUACAUUUUGCAAAACUAAUAAACGAUAGAGCUCCUAGCAAGGUCAAUAGUUAACUGCGAAUCCAGAAGAUCGGAAUGCUAUACCUUUCAAACAUGCAUUUCAAAGCCAUCUGCGGAAAUGGAAAACAAGCAUUUCAAACUCGUUGUUAAAACAAUGAUAAAAGUAAUUUUAAUCCUAAUUUUUAAUUCCAGGCAUGAAGCUAACUCAUAUACAAAGAGAUAUCAAGUAAGCAGAGGCGAAAGCUAAAAGCUUUGGUUACAGGGGUCGGUGUGAAUAAUGUAUAUAUCGUUUAGACAUAUUUUUGAAUAUCUAUUUUAAUUUAGGGGAUAUUAUAUAUAUUUAAAAAAAAUUAAAAUUUUUACGGGAGCCAUGGCUUACUAUAGUCUCCAUUAAGAUUCACCCUCCCUACUUUUCGUACUUCAUUAAAGUAUAGGAUAAAUAUUUACAAUAUUAUAAAUAGAUUUUAUAAAAGCAGUCCAUAUAUGAAAGUCCUUCUGCACUCUGAAUUAAAUAAAAAUAACGUGAGACUAACAAUUUAAGAGUCUUUUUUGCAACGUAUAUCGUGCAGUGAUGUACUCUAUCGACGGAGGACUCUCUUCAUAUGCUUUUUAUUUUUCCAUGCCUGAUUAUAAAUAGGAUCACUCUAUGUUACAUUAAACGUAACGUACACACACUCACAACAACAGUAACAAGUCCCAUCAUUAGAACUGUUGCUGUGAGUGCGUGUAUGUUACGUUUAACGUAACAUAUCACUAGCCUUAUAAAUAACAUCACUUUUAAGGAUUUUUACAAAUUUUUAUUACAACCGUAACUUUUGUCCUCAUACAAUAACGGUGUCCAUUGUCCACAUAUAAAAAGUUCAUCAAUAAACAUAUAACCUAAUUAAAAUUCGUGACAAAAUCCAAAGGAAAGAAAGCGUGGAGUAAUAUAUAUAACAAAGGCAUUGAGCAUACACCAGGUGUAAUUUGCAUUGCAUGGCCACCCUUACGUGGCAGUUCCGCCGAUUAACACAUCUUUAAAAGUUAAAGCCCCCCUCUCUCCUUGUUAAGGGCGUUUCAACACAACACUCAUCAAUGCAAGCAAAGAGACAGUGAAGGAAAAAUUAAGAAACCAAUAUUGUCACUUGGAAGAAAGAAACAAUCAUUACAUAUAUAAUACGAUGGAUACUAAGAACAACAGGAAGCAUUUGUCCUGCAUUGCCAACGACGUCGUUCACAGAUGUGCACUGUACGUAUCUCUCUCUCUCUCUCUCUCUCCUUUUCUUUUUCUCCCCGAUCACUUUGUUUUCUUUAUAUAUACGAAUGUAUGUAGAACGUAGUAGGUUUUGUAUAAAUAUCUGUUGCACACAUUAUUUGAUGUGCAUUUAAAUAUAAUUAAUGGUAAUUGAGAUGACACACAAAGACAAUGCAAAAAAAGAAAAAAAAAGAGAGAGUAAAUUAAUGAAUUUGCCUUGAUCCAGUUAAUUUGUGUGCAUUUAGCUGACUGUAAGGUGGUUUCGAGUGUGUUUUUGUUUGGCAACUUUUCACACAAAAGCACUUUUGGGAAGCACUUUAUGUAAUGUAAGUGCCUCUAAAAACUGUUUUAUGUAUUACUGCCAAAUGCAGUGCAGAGGUUACAAUGGGAGGGUCGGUUUUAUACCUGUUCUUCGAGACUUAAUUUCAAUAGGAGAUUGAAAUAUUUAUGAGAAUUAUGUUGUUAGCAGACUUAAUUCUUUUGGAGGAAUUCAUUCCAUCGUAGACCACUCAAUGAAUUUGGUCGAUUGAGAUUAUUUGAGUGCAUGCUUCAAAACUGGAGCAUUAAUUCUUUGACAUAAAUGGGCUUUAACAUAAGGCGCGUUCGCUUAUUCCAUUUAUUCAAGAAGUUGGCACUCAAUUUUUUAUUACUAGCCUUUAGAUGGCCAGCAGCCUUUUGUAGCCCUUUCUAGUUUCUACUAAAGUGGUUAUGUGCAAUAGUUCUAUUCUGGGUUGCAAAAUUAUUGUGUCAGUAGAAUCCACAUACAUUAUGUACUUUUCUGUAUUUAAUUUCAAGAGGCUUAGUUAUAUCAUAGUUUUAGGAUUAUAAUAAGUCUGUCCGUUACCAUGUUAUUGGAAUUUUUUUUUUUUUCUAAAUUAGUUGGACACAUUAUUGGAUUGGUCAAUAAAGGAAAGCAUUUGGCAAGUACUUGGUUUGAUAUUAACAUAUAGUUGCAGUAAAGCACAUUAACUUGUGCAUCCUGAAAUUCUUGCAGGCAAGUAAAGGCUUCUGAGGAUUCAUUGGUGGAGGGGUUUGAAGCUGAAUGGAAGCCUGAAAUCGGACAGUAUUCGAAGAAAUUUGUGGAAUAUUGCAGCAUAAAGGCUCUUACUAACAUGUGCCAGAGCAUAGAAGAAAAGAUUAGUGAUGGAUCAUUUAGUCGACUCACAUUUGAUAUGAUGCUUGCCUGGGAAAUGCCUAGUGCCGCCGAUGAGGAGUCUCAUACUGUAAGCAAUCAUCAUAAUACUCAUAUCCUAUAUUUAUUUCAUGGUCCACCAAAUCAUUAUGAUAUUAUCCCAAUUUUGGUGUGCCUAUCUUCUCUUCAAGUUGCUUCUUCUAUUUCUUUUUCAUUAUACAUUCUCUGGUUCUCAUCAGUUUUCGCUCCAAUUAAAAGAAGCAUGAAUUCUUUCACUUAUCUGCUGAAUCUGUUCUAAUGAUUGGGCAAUAGAUUUUUAUUCCUCUCUGUGGUUACUACUAUUUUGAUCUUGUGCAGGAGUGCAUGGGAAAGGAGAAUGAGGAUAGAAAGGCUGUAAAAGUCACUUCAGAUCAUGAUGAAAUUCCUCUCUUCUAUACAGACAUCAUGCCUCUUCUAGUAAGAGCGUCUCUUUCUGAUCAUUUGAGUGCUAAUGUACCGACCAAGCAUUAGCCUUCACUGAAACUCGUAUAUGAUUUCAUGAACAUUGAUUAAUUGUUAUUUUUGCUAACUACUCUAUGAGAUCUGAUCAAAUUAGAUAUAUAAAUGUUGCGAUUGAUCUUGGAUUUGCUUUAUAUUUGGCCAUCAAUUAUAUUUUACUCUUCAUUUUUAUAUUUGUUUGGUUUGAUAAUUUACCCUCUGGCCCAUAUAUAUGAUGGUAGGUUAAUAAUGAACCGAGUGUUGGAGAAGAUGCAUUUGUAUGGAUGGGAUCCUUAGUUCCUCUAGUUUCAGAUGUUAUUAAUGGGAGAUUUACAUAUGAAAUUCUGACAGCGCCAACAGGAAACCGGCUCCAUUCUCCAGCAUAUGAUAUAUUUCUAAAGGAGAUGGACAAGUAAUUCUUCCAAUUCUUCCAUGCAGCAAUUUUACCACUCAGAAACUUUAAGUGCCGUUUGGUUUUGUGACAUGCAAAUUAUCAUGGAACACUCAAAAUGAGUUGUUCUUAACAAUUUCUAGAAUUUGCAAACUCACUAACCAUAUCUGAAAAUGCAGAAGCAUUAUUACCACUUAUUGAUAACAAUAUCUCUGCUCGACUUGUUUGGGUGCUUUCAGCCGUUUUUCAUUUUCUUUUGGAAAUCUUGAUUUCAUAGAUGCAUAAAACAUUUGCAAAAACAAGCAACUCCAAAGGGUGUUGAGCUGGCUGACGAUGAAUUUAUACUGCAUGUGGAGGGAACUGCAAGCACACAGAGAGUAGUGCGCCAUAUUGGGAAAACAAGUUGGCCUGGUAUGUCUUUAGUUUGAUGUCUUACAUCUUUUUAACUGCUGUAGAAAUUGUUACUUGGAUUUUACUAAUCAUAAUUGUUGUCUCUAGGUAGGCUCACACUGACAAAUUAUGCGCUCUACUUCGAGGCUUCGGGAGUAAUAACAUAUGAAGAUGCUCUAAAGAUUGACCUCUCAAAAGAUGCUGAACUAUCUGUUAAACCAACUGCCACAGGUCCAUGGGGUGCUCCGCUUUUUGACAAGGCAAUUGUAGUCGAGUCCCCUGAACAGUAAGCAUAGUUGCACUUAUAUGAAAUUACUGGAGCUAUUAGCAUCGUUAUUCUUAUUUUAAAAAUUGUUAAAUGCUUGGUAGUUAUCCCAUAAGCUAGAUUUUAAAUGCAUAACAUACAAGGCAGACAUCAGAAAGCAUUCUGAUUCGUUUAUUAAAGUUUGUCUUUUAUUAAGCUAAAGAUAUUAAUGCUGCUAGAUUUUUCUAAUUUGGUUGUAGAUAUUGGUUAGUUACACUGUCAAAUGAGCAAAUCUCGUGGAUAUUUCAUAGUGUGGUUAUGCAAUUGUUUUUUGCCCUUCACUUUUCUAGAUCUGAGGGAAUUGUCCUGGAGUUUCCAGAGAUAACUAGCUCGACAAGGCGUGAUCAUUGGCUGGCCCUCACAAAGGAGAUAAUGUUAAUGCACAAAUUCCUGUCAAAAUUCAAGGUGGAAUGUCCAAUACAAGCAUGGGAGAUGAAUGCAAGGACAAUACUUUGCAUCAUAAGACUCCAUGCAGCAAGAGAAAUGCUGAGGAUAUUGCCUCCAGAUCCCACAAAAUUCUUGAUUUUUGCUUUGUAUGAUGAGUUGCCAAAGGGAGACUACGUGCUAGAAGAGCUUGCUGAGAGUCUGAAGAAAGUUAAUUGUGGACAUCCUUCCAGUGCUAGCUCAAUUCUGAGAUGUAUGAACCUGUCAAUUGCCGCAAGUGGAGAAGUAAAAGAAGGAAAAGAACUGGAGGAACAUAAACAUAUAAGUGAUGAAAGCUGUUCAUCACUGGAAACUGCCAUCAAUCAAUCUAAAGAGCAAGCAAAGGCAAUUGAAAUUGCUAAGUCUACCACUGAGGGCCUGAAAGAUGAAGGGAUCAGUGAUAGUAUCCUUGUUCUCUUGGUAUGUUUUUACUUCCAAAUUGUUGUUUAUGCUGCUGAUUUUAUAUUGACAGAAUAAGUAAUGACAUCUCAACAAAUCAUGGUAUUGAGAGCUUGUUUGACAUUUAUCAAACACAGCAAAGAAAUUGAAUUUUAUGAAAUUCCUAUAGCACCCUAUAAUUUGUACCAAAAAAUCUCUGCACCUUUGGCAUGCUGUAUGGUAUGGAAGUAUAGCUGUCUCAGAGAGGUUACUGUUAUUUACUUUAUUUGGUUUUGUAGUAUUGAUGUUAAGUUUGAUUUAAUAAUGUAGGAGCUACUAAAGCCACUUAAAAGUGUUUUACCCUGGAUUCGAGAAGUUGUUUCAUGGGAAAAACCAGCAACCACCCUCACUGUGAUUGCAACAACUCUACUAAUAGUGUACAAGUAAGUCAGUGCUCCCUCGUAAUUUUCUUAUAUACGGAAAUUUUUUUGAAAGUGCAUGUUGAUCAAGAACCACUUCAUUACUUGGCCUAUUAAUGUGUAAACUUUGCAAAUGACUAGUAAACUAUAUAAUGGCAAUGUAGGGAGUGGGUAGGCCAGGCUAUAGCUGCUUGUUUGCUCACCAUCGUGGUGAAGAUGCUUCAGGCAAGAAAAAAAAGGUUGACAGACAAAUGCAAUGAGAUAGUAGUAUGCACUGCUUCAGAUCAGAGCACCGUGGAGAGCAUUGUGUCGGCUCAAUACAGUUUGAUAACUAUUCAUGAGAUGUUGCAGGCAGCAAACAUUAUGAUUUUGAAGAUAUGGUCGAUAUUAAUUUCAAAGGCCCGCAAGGUACUCAUUUUGAUAACCUAUGCUUUCAGCUUAGCAAUUAAAUAUCGUUUUCAAUCAAUAUUGCUUAUUCGUCGUUAGCUGAAGUUCGUUUACCUACUACAUUUGUUGGAUGUCUUCAAUUAUUGAGGAGUCUUAGUUGCAUUUCCAAAUUGUUCUAAAUCCUCGUUUCAUUUAAUGGGUUGCAGCAUGCGGACACGGUUAUGGUGGCAUUGACUGGGUUAGCAAUAGUAUUAGCAGUUGUUCCAUUCAAGUAUAUUGUCAUGGGAGGUGUGCUGUACGGCUUCAUUAUGAACUCGAAGCCAAUGAAGUACCUGGGAAACAACUCAAACGACCAAAGCGGCAACAGACGUCUAAAAGAAUGGUGGGAGUCAAUCCCUAUUAUUCCUGUUCGCGUCGUGGACAAGCUUCCUGAGUGCCCAAAAUAAUGUGUCGGCUCCUGCACAAUCACAGUUGCCUAAAUCCUCUGUUUCUGAACUUUUGUUAUCAACUUACUGCACGAUAUACACUUCUGAGUUUGCUUUUGCCAUCAGAGUAGAACUGUAUCUGAAACACAGCAUACACUUAAAUGCUCAUUACAAAUUUGGAGAAAAGCACAAGUAGAAAAGGAUUGAAGACAUUCAGUAACGUUGAAAUUCUGCAUUUUCUUUAAUUUUUGUUAUGAACAAGUUUCUUAAUUAUUUGUUCUCUUGAUGUAAAAUAGCAUAUUGCUGGGAGUAAUGAAGAUGUGACUGUGCUUUUCCUAUUAGCAUGUUAAUAAAAGCAAAAUGGAAAAUUAUUAGUUACGUCCUCUCGUUUUGCGGCUUAUUGAGCUAACAAGUAACUUCUUCAUUACUAGCGUGCAAGUUUGCAACUAGUGAAUCUCAAAUAUAACUCUACCCAAUGGAUGGAUGUACGAUGGAUGUACCUACCCAAUCAUUUAUUUCUCAUUAAAUCUGUUAAAACAGAAAAAGUCCCGACGUCAUAUUCUUCGCGCCUUUUAAAAAACGACACGUGUCGUAUCCCACUACUCGCGUGCUGGAAACUUUAACCCACUCUGACUGCGUGACAGCAGAUCAUUCCCAAUUCAUUUCAGUUUCACUGUCACUUUCACUCCUCCUCAGGCGCCUUCCGACAAACAGGAAGAAUGCAAACUUGAAAACCCCCAAAAACCCUAACGUUCCCCCGGAGACCCUAACCCACCAUAAACCCUGGCUCUUAAUCCUAGCCACUAUGAGCGACCAAGACGAGCAAUCGCGAGCUCAGAAAGCCGCCCAGUUAACAAGUCCGCUCUCAUCCUCUCUCUCGAACCUUUCUUCUUCUUCAAGAAGCAUCCCCUCUAAUCAAGAUUUCCAUUUCUUCUACAAUUUCCCUGAAUUCAAUCAACCCGUCCAAGAAAUCGCGAACCAAUCGCAGCUCCUCCUACAAUCCAUCGGCUCAUCGGAGAUUUUUAACCAACCGAUCAAUUUUCCUGAUGAGGUUGACAUCUCGGACGCCUACGACUGGCUUGUCGACGUAAACGACAACGUUUUCGAGCGUAUGGAUGUUUCUUUCGACGAAUUUAGUAAAGUAAGAGGGGAAAAUGGGGAAGGAGAUGGAAAUGAAGGUGGCUUUCAGUUGGUUUAUGGGAAGAACAAGAAGAAGGGCGACAUUGUGGGUGGCUCUGCCCCGGCCAGUGUGAAAGUGAAGGACAGGAAAGAGAAAAGCAAGGUGCCGUUUCAUAUAUCGACUAUAACAAAACCGCAAGAGGAGUACAAGAUAGUUGUGAACAAUGCGAACCAGCCGUUUCAGCAUGUUUGGUUGCAGAAGAUUGAGGACAGUGGACGGUUUAUCCAUCCUCUUGUAAGUUUGUUAUUUUUUGAAUAUUUUGAUAUUGGAUUUGACUUACUGGGUUUGUUAAAUUUGUAAUCUGAAAAUAGUACCUUUCUUAGGGACUUUUUAGUGAUCAAUUAUUUCUUUCAUUUUCUUUUUGGGUGGUUUGUGGUAUAUGUUUACGCUUAUCUUGUUUGGAAUUUGUGUGCAAUUCUUAUUAUUCAUGCGAGAAUUUUAACACUAUCAUGUGGUUCAUGCUUGCCAAAAAUAUACCAAAACACUUUUGCUUAUUGCUAUUGCUUUAUUUGUACAGGACAAUCUUUCUGUUUUGGAUUUUGUUGAUAAAGAUAUAGGGGAUGUGGAACCUGUAAAACCUCCCUCGUUGGAGCAGACACCAUUCAAGCUUGUGGAAGAAGUUAAAGAUUUAAAGGAGCUAGCUGCUAAAUUGAAGAGCGUAGAUGAGUUUGCGGUAAAGUCUGACUUCUGUGAUUAUGUUUUAUUGAUAAAUAAUGCCGUGGUUCAGCCUUACUGCAGUAGUUUCUUUUUUUCAGCCUUUUGAUUUCUCUUUUCUGAUGGGGCAUUUCAUAUACAGAACUGAACACUGUCCUAUGUAGAGGAUAUAGUGUAGUUAAGGCACAUGUCACCGAUGUCAGCUACUUCAAAAUUAUAUAGUGCUGGAUGUGGUUUAAGCCAAUAAGACAAGAAAGGGGUGUGGCCGCCUAUGAAGAUACAUACAAAUAUGUUAAUAUUCGAAACAUAUACAAAGAAAUGUGCCUGUAAUAGUUUUCCUGUCUACGUAAAGUAGUAAACCAGCUGUCUAUUUAAUCUUGAUACAAGUUUUGCAUGUUUAAAAAAUUAUCUUUCAUCUUUAACAGUGAGUCCAUUUUUAGCUGUAAUCCUUUUCUCAAGCAUGACUUGGUUUUGCUUUCGUUUUCAUCUCAACAGUAAACCUGUUUGCAACUAGAAAACAUUGUAAUUUUUUUGUAACUUUUCUCUAGGUCGACUUGGAACAUAAUCAAUAUCGAUCUUUCCUAGGAUUGACUUGCCUGAUGCAAAUUUCCACCAGAACCGAAGAUUUUGUGGUAGAUACGUUAAAGCUUCGCGUUCAAGUUGGGCCAUAUCUUAGGGAAGUUUUUAAAGAUCCUACCAAGAAAAAGGUUGGUCCCUUCAACAUGCUCUCGCGUAGCUUUGUGAUAAAUCUUAUUUUUUCCCCCCCAAAUUAUGUUAACUUUUACUUUACUAGGUGAUGCAUGGAGCAGAUCGAGAUAUUGUGUGGCUUCAACGGGACUUUGGCAUAUAUUUGUGCAAUAUGUUUGACACAGGACAGGUUUUAUCCCUUGAAACUCUCUUUGAAAUUUGAGACUUUAUUGAUGAUCUUGUCUGGUUUUUUGUACAAUGGUUAAAUUUAUCUUAUCUUAUCUGCUUUUUUGUGGUCUAAUUUAUGAGUGUUGAUGCAAGCCUUUAUUCUACUAAAUUAGUUAAAUUGAGUUAUCUUUUGAUACUGUAUUUUCAAUUUUGUAAUUCAUCUUAUGUGUUUGAGUCAAGGUUUGGCUUCAAAAAGCCUUGUCAGUUACAUGUCAUCUCUCCCUUAAUUUUUUCAAAGUAGCUUCGCUUGUCAUUUGAACUAUUUGUAUCAUUAUUUUCAAUUUUGAUGUGGAACUUCCCCCAUUUAUUAAUGUUCUUUUGGUUGUUUUUGUGUAAUGCUCUUUUGUAAAUUUUACCGUGGCAUUUAUUUUGUUUUGCAUUUCAAAUAAUAGUGAGAAUUGCUUUUUUCAGUCCUAAGUUUAUUGGUUUAUUGUAAAUAUACUGUAUAUUUAUUUUGGUUUGCAUUGGGAGAUGAUCGUGGGAAUUUGUUUCUGUCUUUUCAUAAGGCCUCAAGAGUCUUGAAAUUGGAGAGAAAUAGUUUGGAGUAUCUUCUACAUCACUUUUGUGGAGUUAAUGCCAACAAAGAGUGAGUCCUUUUGUAAAGUACCUGAUCUGUUUCUCCUUAUAGUUUCCGCCCUUCAUCAUCCUAAGUCAACUCAUUGCAGAUACCAGAACGCAGAUUGGAGAGUACGUCCUCUUCCCGACGAGAUGCUGAGGUACCUUUGGUUCUCUUUUUAUCUUCUUUGUAACCUACUUUUCUAAUGAGUUCUCCAAAAAAAAAAAAAUUAUGAUCUGUUUGGCAUGAAAAUAAUUACUACUAUUUUAAAGUUCUUGUAUUCUUUGGAAAAGCAGAAAUCAUAUAUCAUCAUUUAAGUGUUUGGGGUUUCAUCUUUGCCUGUAUUUUUGUAGAAACUAAUAAUAUUUUUUUUUCUGUGGCUUAGGAUUUGAAUUGUGGGAAUAUCUAUGUUGGAAAUUAAUAAUGAGUGCACAUUGACUCUUGAUAGUGGACAAAUAUUUGGACAGCCAGGAAGGGGAAGGCCAACAAAAGUUUUGGGUUUUUAUAAGUUGAAGUUAUGAAUGGUUUUAUAAUUAAUUAGGUAUAGGUUUCCUCAUUUGGGUAUUUCUGGGAGAUCUGGGUUAUAAGAUUGAGAUAUUCCAGCCUGUAUAGAUAAUUGUAGGGUUGCCUGUGUUUGUGAUAUUCCAGCGCGUUUAUUAUUACUACUUCUUAUAUAUAUAAAAUUUUAGACUCUUUCCAUGUCUAACAAGAAGUUUUCAUGAUAUCACUUGGAUCCUACUCAUGCAGACUUGUAAGGCAUCCUUAGGUGCGGUUAUGUGAUCUGGUUUUUAUAAAUAUUUUUAAAUUUUUUGUCAGAGACAAUGCCUGUAGUGACAAUGUACUGACUUAUCUUUUGGUUAUUACCAAGCUGAAUCAGGUUGCCUGUGGUUUAUGACCAUACCAUUUGGUCUUAUAAAAUGUUCUUCCCUUCACCUCAUGUUCUCAUACUUUAAAGCAUGAAUAAUAUCUAAGGGCCUGAGAUUAUUUCAUUAAUUUUUCCCAAGUCUAGAUCCUUCCCAGAGAAAUGGAUGGAUUACCCACACACUCACCAGUAACAUGUCGUACUUUAUGACGGUUUUGCAUUACUGCUGUAUGUCAUUUAAUUUGCCCUUUUGAGGAUUCUUUAUUUUCUCUGGGCUGAUGUUACUUUGUGGUGCUUUUUUUUCCUAUUUAGUCAAAAUAUAUAUUCAUCAUAGAGUUUCUCUGUUAGAAUUUUCUUAGCUUUGAGGAUUCGUUAGUGGCAUAUCAUCCAAUUGAUUAUACUUGUGAUGACAGAUACGCUAGAGAAGAUACACACUAUCUGUUGUAUAUAUAUGAUAUAAUGAAAAUCAAGUUGUCCUCAAUGCCCAAGGAGUCUGAGAAUUCUGAUACUCCCCUGACAGAGGUAUGAUUUUUGCUUAACUGUUGGUGUUGUUUUGUAAAACUGUUGGGCAUCUCUAUGAUUAUAGAGAAUCCAUUUUUAAAUGCUUUUUUCAGAUCUUGUUGUGCCAUGUAUGACAGACCAUUGCGUCUGGAGAUUGGCAUGGAGCUUAAUAAUUACAAUGUUAAAAAUAGAACAUAAAAUAUUGGGAAGUAUCUAUCAUGACUAAUUCUUCAACUGUUUAAGGAAGAUAGUUUAAAUCCGAAUAUCCUUUUUUGGAUUGUGGACUAAAGAAAAUUGUCAACUCUUGAUUUCUCUUCCCAAGGAUGAAGACGUAUCAGUCUGUUGGCAAACACAUUUUUUGAAUUUUACUUUAGUUAUCUAUAAUUUUACCAUAUUGAGCAAACAUUUUGUUGCAAACAGGUCUACAAGCGCAGUUAUGACGUAUGCAGGCAGCUGUAUGAGAAGGAGCUUCUGUCAGAAAAUUCUUAUCUCCACAUUUAUGGGUUUGUCUUUGUCCCUAUUCAUCUCAGUUUAAGUUUUCAUUUAGUGGCCUCGCCUGUUUAAAAUCUUCUCUCAUACAGUUUUUGUUUGUUUCAUUCUUUACUUAGCAUUACUUCUCUUGUUUAAUUUUAGUUCUAUUUUGGACUUCGUAUUUAUGUGAUUUGACAGAACUUAAUCAGUGGAGCUUAUUUCUCUAUGUUGAAAUAGGUUGCAGGGGGCUGGUCUCAAUGCUCAGCAGCUUGCUGUUGUUGCGGUAUGUCAGUUCUUCAUGUGUUUUUCAAACUUUGCCACUUUUCUAUCUGGAUAUUAUAUGCAUGAGGAUGCUACUGAAAAUGUAUUAUCCGCAUGUUUUGUUUACUAGUUGCAUCUUCAAAUGAAACAAAGUCUUGACCCAGAAGAAUCCGUAACGCACCAAUAGUCACUAAUAGGAUUGUCUUGAGAAAUUUACUUCUAAAUUUUUGAGUGGAUGAUAGAAGGGUGGAUUUUAAGUAGCUGACACAUCAUUGCCAACUGCUGAUAGAGUCUGUUGCAUACUUGAGUAUUCUUGCUAGUUCUGGCCCCAUUGAUCCCACUUCAAUGAUUUGCAGGGUCUUUGUGAAUGGCGAGAUGUUAUUGCUCGUGCAGAUGAUGAAAGUACUGGCUAUGUAUUGCCAAACAGAACUCUGAUUGAAAUUGGUAGAAACCUGUCUGAAUUUCCUCCAACUCUCUCUUCUAUAUGUAUAUAAUCCAUUUGGUGAGUUAUGAGUUAAUCAUAUUUUCCUUUUGUGGUAAAAGCCAAACAGUUGCCUACUACUGCUGCCAAGUUACGUCGAUUGUUGAAAUCAAAGCACUCAUAUAUUGAACGCUAUAUGGGUCCGGUACUUAGCAUCAUAAAAAAUUCUAUGCAAAAUGCUGCUAAUUUUGAAGUCAUUGCUCAAAAAUUGAAAGAGGAACGUAUGGAAGUGGUAAGACCUGCAUGCUCAUGUUUGAUUGUUUUGUUAUAUCAGUGAUCCAAAUUGAUUAUUUUUCUUUGAGAAUUUGAUGUUAAUGCCUUCAAUGGAUUGCCAACAUACAUUGAUUUUCUUUUUCUUUUCCUUGGAUUUCGUUAGAAUCAGACCAACCAUCUUUUAAACGAGGAUGAUGGUCCAAAACCUUAAGGUCUACUACGAUGAAUUGCUACUUUUUGUGCAAGUUCUUGUAAUUCACUCAGCUGGUUGUCUUCGGCAAAUGAAAGGAAAAAGGAAAUUCAUCCAAUCCAGUUCUAUUGAAGAAAAAGAAUCCUAGUUGAUCUUACAAAAUUAAGCUUUCAUAAUUUGUUAACCCAUGGAAUGUGAUUAAAACUCAUGGACAAAGGAUGUUCCAGUUGAGAAAGGGAUUUGAGUGAUUUUUAGCAAUUAUCAGUGAUGUCUUCAUUAGAAGUAAGUUUAUGGUUUAUAGCAGUAAAUGCUCAAUAAUUAGGUACUCCUUGUAUAUUGGCUGACCGGGUCCCAUGUUUGUAGUAGGUUUUGUGAGCUACAGAGGAUUAACUUCAGUCAGUUUUCCAUGUUAUGGCUGUUAAGAGCUAUGUCACCAUUUUUCUUUGUUUACAUCAAACUAAUCUUUUUUUUUCCCCCCAUUUUUCCUUAUUUGUGUAGGCAUCAGAAGAAACUGAAGUUUUAGUUCUUGAUACUUCCUCAAACUUGAAAAUUCCGAAUGUUGGAAGGGAGAGUGUUGAUGGUGUUGAUGCAUUAGUUGGUACCACGAUGCCUCACCCACCAGCUUACACCCAGCUGAAACAAGAGCCUCCAAAGGUUGGAAGCAGUGUCGCAGAACUUGACAGAAAUGGACUAGGGUCUUUUGCGCAUCCUGGAGAAGCAAUUGCUUCAGAAAAUAAAGAAGCUACUCAUAUUUCAACACUUUCCAGCUCUGGUCAAAGUAGAGACUUGAAUGCUUGCAAGUCACCUUCACCAAGGGUUGUGAAUUUGAUGCCUUAAUGUGGAUUUUUUUUUUUUUUGGUUAAGAGGUUUAGCAUUCAAUUUCUUUUUCUUUGGUUGUGAAUUUGAUGCCUUAAUGUGGAUUGGAUUUUUUUUUUUUUUGGUUAAGAGGUUUAGCAUUCAAUUUCUUUUUCUUUAUAGGUUACUGAAGCUGCUGUUCAGGCUCUAAAGAAGCCGAACCGUGGUUUUGGAGCACUGCUGGGUAACCCAAAGAGAAAGUUUGAUGGCGAGAAAAAGGUGAGUUAAUCAUUUGCUAGUAAUGGUUGUUAAACAUCUGCUAUGUCAUUGUCACAUAGCAAAAUAACUAUUUCUGAGGCCUGCCAGUCACCCAGUUUGUGCAUGUGUGGUUGGGAAGAAGGCAACAAAGGAAGAAUAUAGUUAAACAUUUGCUAUGUUAUUCUUACAUAGCAAAAUAACUACUACUGAGGCCUGCCAGUCAGCCAGUCUCUGCAUGUUGGUUGCAAAGAAGGCAACAAAAGAAGAAUGUUUUUUUUUUUUGAAUCUUCAUUCCAUGAUUCACUUUCUUUUCAAUUUUUCUUGUCAACUAGCAUGUACAUUUGCCUUCUUGUUGCCUUUUUCGUUGCGUGAGUCAUUAUGAAUUAUGAUUUAUAUUAUACGGAAAUUGUGAGUGGGCAACUGUUGGGCUAUAAUCAAACAUGCAAAAUUUCGGGUCCCAUGACUAAGCGCUGCUAUCAUCUGGAUUUGUGUGUUGUUGCAUUUUAUAUUUGGUUAACACCCUUCUUAUUAUCCUCCUUUUGAUUGUUUGUUUGUCUUAAUUAGGACAAGGAAGCUAUGAAACUAGAGCAGAUUAAAUCCUCAGUCAAUCUUCCAUUCCACUCAAUUUUUGCAAGAGAUGAACAGUUAAAACCAGUUGAUGUGAUGAAGUCUGAACCAAAUAAGCCUGACAUUCCAUUUCCUUCAUCUUUUGGUAGUGGGCAACAAACGAAACCAAUCAUAGAGGAAUCCAAUAGAGUUACAGUAGUUUCCCAAUCAGAAGAACCCGCUCCGGCUGCUAGGUCUGAUACAGAAGAUAUUAUUACGUUGGAAGAUGAUAUAGAUGAAGAGGAACAAAACCUUGGUAAUUUGGAAACUGCAAGUGCGCCCGGAGAGGACGGUUCUGCAGGGUCUGCUUUGGAAAUGGGUAAACAAGAUGAGACCAUGUCUCUCUCUGAUUUAUCAACUAGUUUCCAGGAGUGCUUCCACUCUGCUAACAACAAUAGAAAACCUGGAAAGCCUGAGAGAUCUGAAGAACCUAGUGGUUUUUUGCAGCUUAAGCCGUUUGACUUCGAAGCAGCUAGGAAACAGAUCGAGUUUGGAGAAGAUGCCAAAGAAAAAUCAGCUGGGGUUGAUGGAAACAAAAGAAAACCAGUGAACUCUGGAGAUAAGAAAAAAGUUUCAGCUGUAGAUCAAGCUCAAAAAGAUGAUGGAACAAAAGAACUGUCACAAGGUAGACGACGUUCUGCUUUUCCUGCAACUGGAAAUCGAAGUGCAACAUUUCGCUGAGUCUCUGGUAUCAAUCAUGCUGCUCUGUGUAGCAGAAAUUAGUUGAAUUUUGGAUUUUCACAAUCAUGUUCUUGAUUUAAAUGGAAAUUAAUGCUGGUGGACAAAUUCGCAAUGGUUGUACGUAUAUUUCCAUUGCUUGAGGUCUUGUCUGAUACAGCAUGAGCUAACCUGAUCAUCUUUUGAUAUUCAGUAACAGGAGAGAUGUAUGGUCUGCAGGAGCCAAUGAUGGGCAAGUGAUACCUGAGGCCGGUGUCUAUUUGAAGGUAAAAUGGGCGAUGGUUCUAGGUUUCAUAUUAGGUUUUUGAUAGUCUUGAGUAAUUGCCCUACUAUCUUCAUAUUUAAAAAACAGGAUGGUUUCAAACCAAAGUGCGGUUUGUAAUCAAAAGCAUUUGAUCUUUUUGUUUUUGUAACUUUACGGGUUUUAUUUUUAGAAAAAUGGUUCUGUACUAUGGUUUAUUUCUGCCUUAUUUGAUAUUGUGGUCAUCUUAGGCUUUAUUUAGUGUAAUUUUUCAGUUAUAUGUUCGUUUGGGAAGAGGAAAUGAAGUUAAUUUUAUUUCACACUUGCAUAAGAAAAAAUUGUAAUGUUUAUAUUAUUUUUGUUAAAAUUAUUAUUUAAAAAUUAUAUUUGAUAUCUAUUAAUAAUUUUUAUUAUAAUUAUAAUUUUCUUUUUCCUCCAUCAUCUCAAUUGCUUAUAACUGCUGUUGAGGAUGGUUGGUGCGAUGUUAAUAAUUUGUAAAGGGCUUAGUAACAUCUGGUUCCGUGAUGUCGGCCAAACCAUAUCGAAGGGCUUAAUUUGACGGUCAUCGGGGCCUCCUGCCCAGCUGCCCUCCUUUACGGAUUCCGCUUCCGCAAAUUAUUUUAUAUAAACUGUUGUUACAUGAUAGUGGUGGCCGGAUGAAAAUACUACAUGACCAUAUAAUGCUUUCGGUGCAAUGAGUGAAAAAGAGAAAUUUUUAUGUAUUCUCGGAUUGAAGGAGAAAUUUUAAGAUUAAGAUUGUGGAGUGGUAGCAGGAGUAAAUUAUUUACUUACAUCACUAUGAGAGUGUGGAACGAAAAUUAGAAAUUAUGUAUUUUCUUUGUCUUAGAUUGAGAGUGAAUCAUUUUAAAUUAUAAUUUUAUCCUUAUUUAAAGAAUUGUAGUUUUUAAUUAUAAAGUAAAUAAAAAAAUAUAUUUGCACAAUAAAUUAUUUAUUUUGUUAUUAAUUUUAAUUAUAUAAAUUAAUAAUAAUUAUUAUUAUUCUUAAUCAUGUGAAUCAUGAUUUUUUUGUUAAUUUUNNNNNCGUACAGCAGAAAUAAAUAUGAUAUUUUUAUUUUUAAAUAAAUGUGAUAUUAUUUUUAUUUUUAUCAAUAUAAUUAUAUUAUAUUCAAUAAGGAAAUGAUAAAAAGAAAGAAGUGGGAGUAGAUUUCUACUUUUUAUUCAAAAACAAAAAUGAGACCCACAGAGUAGAAGCCUAACUCUCCUCCUUAGAUGAGUACUAAAACGUUUAAGUAGGAGAAAUUCAUAUUUUUGACUCCCACUCUACAAAGUAAACAUAAUAAUAAUAUCAUAAUAACAUUUGAUAAUUCUAUAUAUUUGUGACGUCAUAUCUCAUCAAUUGAUUAAUAAAAUUAAAUGGUGAUUAUUUAUGAAAGAACAAAAUUAAUUCAUGUGAGUUAUGGUUAAUAAAUAAAUAAAAUAUAAAAUGUUAAAUUUUGACUAUAAACUAAUUUCAAUAUCUAAUAAUUUAAAAGCUCAAUAGAGCUAUGAUAAAAACUAAAGGGAGGAUUCUUAAUCCGAUCCGGGAUCUUAAUCAGUUCAGGACCGAUCCACUUCCAGCUAUUACGCGUCAAACAUCCAUUUGACGAUUGACGUGUCACGCCAUCUCACUGUCCUCACAAGAAAACCCGUUACCUUCAAAAUGCUCCAAACCCAUCAACGCCGAAUUCAAAUCAAGCCCCAAGACCAAAUACAAAGCAAAAACAAAUAAACAAACGUCUGUUCAUUCAGUCUGAAAAAAUCAAAAGAAGUAAAAGGAUUGGCGAUGGCGAUGGCGGUUGAAGGAGGAGGGACAUUAUCGGAGAUAUAUCAAAGUGCGAAGAAGUUGCUGUUGAGAGCGAGAGACGGAGUUGAGAAACUGGAGAGACUGGAGAGCUCGACGUCGACUGGGGGAUACGAUUCGCCGGAGCUCUCCUUCGCUGUCAAGAAAGAUAUUUCUCAGAUCCAGUCACUCUGCGUCGAGAUGGAUCGCCUAUGGCGCUCCAUCGCCGACAAGUCUCAGCGCGAUCUCUGGAAGAGGUACCUAUUCAUUUACUGUUUUGCCACGUGGCACCGAAUCAACCUUGUGUCGUGUCCUAAUUGCUCUACGCCAGUUCGGUUGCAAUUCUGUGCAUGAACCGCAAUUUUUAUACUGAAUAUUACAUUAUUGAUUUUGUCUGAGCGACAAGGCAUGCUUCCACGUUUACUUGUUGCUUAGUUUUAUUGUUUUGCCUUCUAUGUUAACAGUCUAUAUAAGUUUUAUAUGUGUUACAGGCAUGUGUAUAUAUGGAAGUACAUUAAUAGCUGUUCAUGCUGUUGCUUGCUUGAGGUCGUUGGUAUAUUUGCAUUUGGAACUAAAUGUGCUUGGUGUGGGUUCGCUAUGUGUGUGUGUGUGUGUGUGUUUGUUUGCGUUUGAUGUUAAAUGGAAUUACCUUCUAUCGAGUCAGUGCCGCAAUUUGAUUGCUUGGUUUUUCAGAGGUGUGUUUUUAUGUUAUGUCAUGCAGAAAAGUUGAACAAGUAGCAGAAGAGGCUGAAUCAUUGAAAGAGAGUCUCGAUAAGUACUUUUUAAGAAAUCAGAGACGGAUAAAUGAAGCUAGAGAGAGGGCGGAAUUGCUUGGAAGAGCUGUAUGUUUAUUCAGUUUUCGUUAGAAGUUUUGAACGGAUUCUGUAGUGUUUUUCUUGUCUGGAAACGAGAAUUAGCUUUCCAAUCUGAUGAAUUUCUUUUAUGUUAUAGAAUGGAGAGUCGUCUCAUAUUUUGAGAAUUUUUGACGAGGAGGCGCAAGCAAUGCAGUCAGUACGCAAUUCAUCGAGGAUGUUGCAAGAAUCGUUUGCAACUGGGACAGCCAUUCUUGCCAAAUAUGCAGAACAAAGGGAGCAUCUAAAGGUAUUGACACUUAAGCUCCUUGUUUACAUGCACAGUUGCACACUAGAAAUUUUUGCCAAGCUCACUCAAACUGUGUGCAAACAAAGUUCACUAAACAGGGUCAAAUGAGAAAUUUACAUUCUUGUCAUGGUUGUAUUCUUAACAUGAUUAAAUAUUUAAAUGAGAACAAUGUUAGAUCCUCAAAGCAAUUAUCUUUAAUAUUGAUUUAUACUACUGCUAUAGAAAUUAUAAGUGUUUGCAGCACCUGCACAAAUGGCUGCAGAGAAUUUAGUCUGUCUAUGGUAAUAAUUUUAAAAGCUGGUAACUCCAAAUAUUCAACAGUGGCUGACAAAAACAAUCCUCAAGUUUUAAAGUAAAAGCAAACUUUGCUUUGAAAUAAUCAGUGACAACAAUGACGUGAAAGUGUCACCAACUGUUUAUAUAUAAUAUCUCCAAUAUUCCAGAAUUUAGUUUCAUAAUGGCUGGCAAAGACUUGGUUUUUUUAAGGUUUAAAGUAAAAACGAUCUCUGCUUUGAAAUGUUCAGUGGCAACAGUGAUGUAAAAUGAUCAGCAACUGUUCAUAUCUAGUAUCUCCAAUGUUUAGAAUUUUGUUUAAAAGAUCCGUUCCAUCCAUAAAAAAAUUUCAUUCUGAAUAAGCAACUCAAGAUUACACUUCGCAAGAACACACCAUCUACCAUUUCUCACAAAUUUAAAUGUCACAACCUAUGAUCCAUUACCAAUUGUGAGAAACGGCAGAUUAUUUGUUCUAAUGAAGUGUAAUUUGAGUUGCUUAUUUAAAAUGAAAUUCUUUUAUGGGUAGAAGGGAACUUCUAAACGAAGUUCUAGGAAUCAAAUUAGCUGUUUAGAUUUGAAUAGUUGGUGAUGCUUUGAUGUCACUGUUGCCACUGAUUCUUCUCGAAAAGAAACAGAUUUUUAAAUGGUAUUAUAGAGGUCACAGAAAAAAAAUAGUCAUGCUAUCAUUGAUAGCACUUGCCACUGAUGUUGAUAAUGAGUUUAACUGAUUAACUUCCAUCUUUGGUUCAGAAAGCACAAAGGAAAGCUCUGGAUGUUCUCAACACUGUGGGUCUGUCCAAUUCAGUAUUGAGGCUCAUUGAGAGGAGGAACCGUGUCGAUACAUGGAUCAAAUACGUAGGAAUGGUUUCUACAGUGGUCAUCUUAUAUUUCUUCUGGAGGUGGACUAGGUGAUCCGAUCUUCAUACUUAGCCACGCAUAGAUCAUUAAUCCGCAUACUUUGGAAUGAUUAAGUUUUGUUCUUGAUAUUUGCCCCAUAAGAGGGUUAAUGAGGAUGUACAAGGCAUUCUUUGAUGAGAGACUAUCCUCUUAUGAGGAUGUAUAAAGCAUUCUUUGUUAAGAGACUAACUCGUAUAGGACGGACUCCCAAAGAAGGUUCUUUGCAAUUCUUGAACAUUUAGAGCGAAGUUGACGAAACGUGCUAGUUGUUUUUGUAUUUUGGCAAAAGGGGAAUUACAGAGUUCGAAGAUUCUAAGAAAUGCGCCAAUUUUGUUUUGUUGUCAGAACGCAAAAACGGCCUGAUUGUGGACGGUUAAAUCCGGAAUUAUGUAGUGGAUUUGCAGUUAUUGAAGGGCAUGCUUGGGAAAAUAAUAUGGUCAAAUAAAAUCAAGAACAAUUAUAUUGUAUCUGCUGUUUAUGCGUCCGUACUUGAAGGUGUCCACGUGGCUGGUGUGUGUUUGUUAAACCAGUAAAAUUAAGUAGUGCGAAGUUCUGAUCGCCGCUCAUUGAUUGUUUUUUUUUUUAACUUUAAAUAAACUAUGAGAAAAGGCUUUGAAUGAGUCGCAGAUAAAUUAAAGUUUUUUUUUUCUUCUUCUAAAUUUAUAUCCAAUGGUUCGGCACAUGUUAUUUUCUUUAUUUUUAGUGCACACGGUAAACUAUUGAUAGUAUUUGGUGUAAACUCACUUUCAAAUCGAUGCUUCACGAAAAGUCCAAAUGACGCGCUAUGAAAGUAAUAUAGAUAACUAGGAUAAGUGGAAAUGAUAAACGAAUAAAAUGAAGUAAAAAGAAUUUUUCAUUUUUAAGGGUUACAAAAUAAGAAUAGUUAAUUACUUAAUUAGUUGACUUGCUAAAAAUUUUUCAUGCAAACAAAUGGUCUGGACUGGAAUCCGUUUAAAUGGAUAGGAAGAAAAUUAGAGUGUCGUAAAAGUACUGGAGUUUCAAAUCCCCUCACGUAGUCACAAGGAUUAGAAGAAAAUUGAAUUGUUAGGCAAAAUGAAAAAAAAGAAAAAAGCUUAACAUUUUUAUUUUCUAAAAAAAUGUUUUUCUUAGUUGUUUUGUUUUUUAAUUUUAAAUAUAUUUAAAAUUUUGAAAUUAAUAAAUGACUUUGAAAACUUGAGUGUGCUCGAGCCUCGAGAUCUACUCAAAUUCUUUUACAUUAUUACAUUAUGAAAAAUUGUAUGAUGUCGUGAUUAAACUAUUGUAUCAAUACUAUGAUAAACAUAAAUUUUAGAAAUUAUAUAUAAGACUAGUAAGUGAAAUGUAAAAUAAAUUAAUUAAUAUAAGAGUGGUAAAUAAUGUUUUAAAAUUAUAAACAAAACAAACACUUAUAAAAAUAACAUAAAAAUUAUAAAUCAACAUUAAAUUUUAAUGUAAAAAUAGUUUAUUUAUUUAAUUUAUUCAAGCAAAGAAAAACUUUACUCAUCAAUUGAAAACAAAAAUUUUGUAUUGAAAACAAUGGGAAUAAGUUUUAUUAAUUGAUUUAACCAUGAAUUUUAUAUUCAUGUCAGGAUAUUUAUAAACUGUUUUUUUUUUUCAUUUUCUAUCAUAGUAUUUGUUUACUAUACAAGUUGAUUAAGUAAACUUAUUAUUAUUAUUAGUAUUAUUAUUAUUAUUUAUGUGGAUCAAGCCAAAACAAAAUAAAAAUACAUUUGAAUAUUACUAGACAUAUAUGGAAUAUUAAUACAAUUGAAUCUAACUUUCAGUUUUAUACAUAAUUCAUCUAGUUUCAAAUUUUACUUCUUAUACUAAAAGAUCAUUUGAGGUUGCUAUCGAGGAGGUUUAAAAUGAUGCAAAAUCACUUAUAUCACAAAUAAAAUAUGAAAAAAAAUUUCUAAAAUUUGAUUUUGAGAGUAAGUUUUAUCCUUAAUAAAAUUCCACAUAUAUUAUCACGUCUAUUACAUAACCACAGAAUUAUCAUUAUUUGAUUUAGAAAUAAAAAUAGUAAAUAUAUAAUGUAAUCAUUAUUAUAGUGAGUUUUUAUUUAUUUUUUCAAUAACUCUUAUAAUAUUUACUUAUUUUACAUUCAUUUACAACUCUUCUAUUUUACUUUUAUAAUUUAUAUGUUAUUUUACACUUAAUGUUGAUGUACAAGUUUUAUAUCACAUUUGUAAACAAGUUUUACUUUAUAUUUACAUGUAUUAUGUUUUAUUUACUUAAUUCAUGUUUUAUUUUAUACUUAAUGUUGAUUUACAAGUUUUAUAUUAUAUUGAUAUAAGUUUUUAUUUUAUUUACUAAUGAUAUAUCAACUUACCACUGUUAAUUUACUUAUUUUACCUUCAAUUUGCAAGUCUUGUGUUUCAUUUACAUAAUUUAUUAUGUUUUAUUUUACGUUUAAUGUUGAUUUACAAGUUUUAUGUUAAAUUUACACCUCUUAUAUUUUAUUUACACAAUUUAUGUUCAAUUAUAGUAUAUUAUAGAAUGACUCAUUUGACAUUACAAUACAAAAUUAUAAACAUAAAUAGAUGUAUCAAAAAGUCUUGUCGAAAAAUGAAUCCACCUUAAUACGGACCUGUCUCAUUGUUUUAUAAUUAAAGUUGCACACUCUUACAAUGAACUUGAAGAAAUUGAAUUCUCAACAUCAAUAAUGAGGUGUCUAUUACUAAUAAUAGUUUAUAAAAAAAAUAAAAAAAAUAAAGAAAUAUGAUUAAAUUGAUCAAUGUAAUUUUAUUAAAAAAAAGAAGCAUUUUUAUUACAAAAGCAAUCUCAAAAUAUAUAUUUUUUGUAGUUACAAAAAAUCAUGACCUAGUGGCGACCUAGUGGCGACCUGGUGGGCGUAUAUACAAAAAUCAUAAUAUUUUUAUACUGAUUACAUAAAUUCGGUGAUCACAGACCACAGUAAAACCCUGAAACCGCCCAACGGGGUUCUUUACCAGAGGAAAAAAGGGAGGAAAGAAAAUGACUUUUUAAUAUAACGGCACGGGUUUAAGCCAAAAACGGUGGAAUCAAAUCAUUGACACGUUCGUGCGAUGCCUUCACUCCUCAGGCAAACCAGACUCCCGCAUGUGAAUGCCACGUGAACGUAGCUUCUUCACAUAAUUUUUACCCCAAUGUCCAAAUUACCCCUUAUCUUUUACUCCUUUUUUUUUCUUUUUAACUUUGCCCGAUUUUGAAGUCUAUUACGUAUUGCGGACUGCUGCCCUCGCUUGACGUGUUUUUUCUCCUUUUUUUUUUUUUUCCCUCUCCAAACUAUUCUUUUCAAUUUUAACUAAAUAAUUUUUUUUUUUAUUACGAACAUCAACUUAAAAUUUAGGUUAGUUAGACACUUCCCCACUUCAUCCUUAAAGUCAAGUAUUCAUAUCUAUCUGUCUAUGGUGAAUAAUUUUUUUUAUUUUUUAAACUACGAACAAGUUAUCUUUUUUUUUUUUCUUUUCCAAUAUCACUAUUUAUCCACUUUUAGUUUAAUUCUUUCUGCCUAAGAUGAUCAAUUUAAAUUAAAAAUGGGAUUUUGAAAUUAUUUACUAAAAAUCAUGAUUGUUCUUUUGACGUAUUUGAAUAAAGUUUAUUUGGAAAAAUUAAUGUAAAAAAAAAAAAUGUUGGAAGAUUACGACAAUGGAAAUGUAGUCUCUGGUGAAAUGCUCUGAUUCAAUCAAUCAUCAGCAAAUGCGGUUCGCACGUUGGCAAUGGAACUCGUGAUAGCACAACCGUGAAAUGUCCUUCAUUUGGGAGUCCACGUUAAUCACAUGUGGGUCCAUCUUGAGUGCUUUUGUGCUUUACAAUUAAAAUAGACAGACAGGCUGAUGACCUGACAAUUUCGAGCCUGAUAAAGCCCCUUCAUCAACUUGAUCAGAAGGACAGGACAGCUAUUAAUAGAAAAAAGCAGCAGACUAGUACUAAUCGAGAAGUCAAACAGAUAAAAACUAAAACUAAAUAAUCUAAUCUCCUCCUAAUUCACUAAAUUAUUUUAUUUCUAUUGGUAUAAUUAAUUAAUUGAUUGAUUAAUCAAACAUGCCUUCACAAUUAAAUAGUUUCAACAGUGUAAGUUGAACCACGUGUCAAGCAAAAGCAACCAUCAUUUAUUAUAAUUUUUUUUUAUUUUUUUCGAAAAAGGAAAAAUCAAAAAACAAGGCAAGUUGAUGCCAACAGGAUCUGAUCCGGAAGGGUAACCGAGUCAUUUCGCCGUCAUGCAUGCCUCAAUCCGGAUUGCCUGCCCGCCCCCACGUUGGAAAACCAGGGACGCAUCGAUAAGCAGUUUCAACACCCAAAACACAAACUUGGGGGCGGGAAUUGCAAAACGAAAUAACAGCUUUUGCUUUUGCUUUAAUUUUUUUCCGUUUGUUUUCUUAAAAAGAAAGAAAAAAAAAAAUACUCCCAGUUCCACAAUAGAGCCCCUGGUUUUGCCUAUUUCUUUAAUCCUUUUACGCAGACUCAUGAUAAAUAUCUCCAUCUAUCAGUCAGUCCAUACGGUUUCCUUUCAUCACCAACCCCACCAACGAAAACAAAAAAAACAAAACAAACCCCCUCUUCAGAAAUAUAAUUAUAAUUUUCUUUUUCUAUUGAAUUAAGCUUGUUGGGUAUAAUUUGCUAAUUAAUCAAAGAUCGAUCUAUGACGACGGAAGCGGUCAGCAAGGUUGGAUAUGCGCAUAGUAAGGUUGCUAUGAAGAAGAAGAGCGGUUAUCGAGGUCGAUGCAGGAGAAGAAAUCACGACAGAUAUGCACCCGAUAAUAAAACGGUGCCGAUGGCGCUGCAGCGUCUGUUUCUUUCUUGCAAAGACGUCUUCAGAGGCCCUGGAACCGUUCCCGCUCCUUCUCAUGUCCAAAUGUUGUGCUCUAUUCUUGGUAAGUGUUUUUUUUCUUACACUUCAUCAUUUCUGGUCCAAUUUUCUUGUUUUUCAUUUGGCCGCUGCACUCGCAUGACGUGUAUGUUGUGAAAUCUGAACCCAUCAUCAUCCUUCAUCCAUGCACAUAUAUAUUAUCAGUCAUGAGAAAUUUUGAAUCAGCCAUUAAAAAAAGAAAAAAAAAAAGAAAAGGAAAGAUUCAAUAUUAUCAAAUCAAUACCAUUUUGUUUCAUGAGAUGAUCUAUGAAAGAUGGGAAAGGAGCACUGCUCCUUAUUUCAUUUCCUGUCACGUCUGUGUUUCAAUCAAUUGUAAUAAUACAUAUAGCCACGUAAAAAGCAAGGGGCAAUACUCUUUACAGCACGAAAACCUUCUCAAAAAAGGGGCUUUACUUUAUUGGCAGUAAUGAAUUGUUUUGAGCAAUUCAAUUCAUCAGUGCACUUAUCAUGUUUACGUAGUUUGUCAAUUUGGUUCCAGUUUUUGGUUCUUUUUAUUGGAUUCAGUGCCGAAAUGUCAUGUGUGUUCAUAGGACGUACUGGGAAAAGGAUUAGAAAUCUGUACUGAAUUUUUUUAAAUUUUGGGGGGGGGUUUUUUUUUGGGGUGGAUGGGGUUAUGGAUCUAAGUGGAUGGUACCAAUUUUCAAAAAUGUAGUUUAAUUAACUUUCCAGUUGAAAUUACAAAACCAAACCAUCCGAAAUGGAUUCUUCGAGAAAAGGUGGGUUCAGAAAACAAAGUGGUUGCUUCUAGGUGAAUCCAGAUUUUUUUCACGCGGACACAUGGUACCUUUUGGUUGAUUACCCAGCCACAGUGUUGCUUGAGGGGACAAAAAUAUCAUAUUUGUUUUUUUUUUUUUUUCCAAAUUCCUUUUUAAUUCGUAACUCAAUCUCAUGGGAUCCUACUCAGCAGCCAUUGUGAUUAUUUUUUUUACCUGACGACGCAAAAAUCUUUGCAUUAGAAAGGAUACAUAAGCACAUUUGCCUACUGUUGCUACGUGUACAUGUGCAAUGGUUUGGUUGCAAAACUGGAAGCAUUGGCACAUUAUAUAUAUGUGUGUUUUUUUUUUUUUAAUAUGUAUAAAUGCAUGGAUCAUGACACUUGGCUAAGUUAAAAUUUCCAUUUUCUCGUUAUCAUAAAGAUUGCCAGUGACUCAAACAAGCUUUUCUUUUUAAAUUUAUGAUGCUACAGAUGAAAUGAAGCCAGAGGAUGUUGGGCUUAGCAGUAAGUUACAGUUACUUAGUGCCAAAGAUGCAAUGAAAGGGACGCCAAUUGUCACAUCCACUACAAUAUACAAAUGCCAGAACUUUUCGGUAAAGACAUAAGCUAUUCAUAUUGGGCUAAAUUAAAUUCUUUUAUUAUCGUAUACUAAUUUGUAAACCAUACUAAUUAAUAGUGCAAAUUUGAUUUAGAACUUGAUAGAUUACCUUUUGGAUUCUCUUUUGUGCAGUUGUGUCUUUUCUUUCUUCCUCCAACUGCUGUGAUCCCCUUGCACAACCAUCCGGGAAUGACUGUUUUUAGCAAGCUUUUGCUCGGGACAAUGCACAUAAAAUCGUACGAUUGGGUCGAUCCUGUUGACGCAAACGAUUCUGCAGCCCCCACAAAACGUGAGUACCGCUUACCUUAUACAUAUAUGUCCAUGUAUAAUGCACACACGAACACACACACACACACACUCACAUAUCAAAACAACACGAUAACUUGAAUGUGCUAGCUCGGACUAGGAUGAUCAUUUGUGACUGAAAGUGAUGAUUUAAUUAAUUUGCAGCGCGAUUGGCGAAGUUGAUAGCCGACAGUGAUUUCACAGCACCUUGCAACACUUCUGUGCUAUAUCCAACAACAGGAGGCAAUAUCCAUGAAUUCACAGCCAUUACGACAUGUGCCGUGCUCGAUGUGCUUGGACCUCCCUACUCUAAGGACGAUGGUCGGGACUGCUCAUAUUACAAGGAGUUGCCACUUCCCGCGGUUCCAAGUAAGCGAAACAAAACCACUUGUUACUGAUUAAAAACAACCUCGUUUAAACCUCCUCGAGUAGCGCUUUCAGAGGUCUUACCAAUUAAACCCACCGAUUUUGUUAAUGCAGAUGGAGAGAAUCAGGAGGCAAAAGAGGAUGAUGGUGGUGAGAGUUGUAGGUGGUUGGAAGAGAUUGGGGUGCCAGAGAACUCACACAUGGAUGAAAUUGAGUACUUGGGACCGCAGAUAAUUGAGUAGUAGCUGUAACUAGCUUCAGCCCACAGUCGCGUGAUAAAAAAAAAUUUCAACGCAUUAUCUUCUUUUGUUUCAUAGCUAGUCAAUGGUUUUGUAUUUAUAUAUACACAUAUAUUACGUUGUUUCCUGACCUGAGUUUUCACUAUGUUAAUAGCAAAAUUUCAUUUCUUUUUCUUUUUUCUCUUUAAUCCCGGUAUCUUCUUUAAUAACUUGAUUACUUGAGUACACUGUACCAUUGAAAUCAUGGUUCAUGCCAUAGUUCCCUUAGAGGAAGGUCCAAACCCGGCUUAGGAGAAAUGGAGGUUUGGGCUGUCGAGGGCCUUGGUGUUGCUAUGUUCCCAAGAGAUGUUUACUUGGGCUGUCGAGCGCGCCGAGAAGUGCUUAAUAUUACAUCAAUGGGCCGGGCUUGUAACCGACUACUACACAUUCCCAUGGCGGCAAUCCUGAUCAGUAAUUAACUUGGGAUUUUGCAUUCAAUGAUUGCCACAAUAAUAUCAGCAAACUUUUCAGAAGAACCUUAAUUGAUAAUUGUCAUUUUGCAAUCAUAGGUUAGUUGAUGGAUAUACCAUGGGCCCUGAAAAUUAAUUAAAAUAUCAAACAUUGUAUGCUCCUAGGUUGGAAAUUUUUCAAAAUUUUCAAUAGAAAAAUAACCUCAAAAUCAAUAUUUUACAUGUGAAGAUCUGUUUCAUUAACAAGCGCGAUGGGCCAAACGGAGGGAGCCAGGAAUUUUAAGCUGUUCAUAUUUGACGCCCUAAUUUGGGAUUUGCUAAUACGGAAAAACUUUGAGCUGCUCACUAAUUUAUAUCUUGACUUCGAGAAUCUGCGCAAUUACUAAUUAGUAGCCAUCAAUAAUUGUCAAAAAUCAAUUUUGAAUUUCGAUAUUUUUGAAUGCAUUGGUGUUACGUGUUUCUCCAUACGCGUUAGUAAAUUUGAGAUGGUGUAAAUUUGUAAUAAACUAAUAAUAUCUUCUUUUUUUUAUAAUUUGAAAAUCAACCCAAUCUGAUUCUCUAAAUUAACAAGAUCAAAUUGACUAUCCAAUGUUCAUUCACUAGGAAAGUCCUAAAGGUCCCUCUAAACUAGAAAGUUACUCAAAUCUAUGGCCAAAAUAAAGUCUUCUUAUAAUUAAAGAAACAACCCAUCUUUUUUUAAGAUCUUCUGACAAUGAAUUUUCAAUUAUGAUGGGGUUUGAAGUUUUGAAAUUUUCUAAGAAUUAUUAACAACUGAAAAGAGAAAGCAAAAGAAAAAGGACGAUGUGAUAUGGCAUGGGACAUGGACUUCCCACCACCUUUACAUUGCCAUCAUGCAAAAAAAAAGCUCUCAAUUUUAUGCUUAGCUUGUUCUUGUUUUCUUUCUUUUAUCACUUCUUUAUUACGUGGGUCUUGAAUUCUCAAUAGUUUCUAAUUGUUAAAAAACUCCAUGAAAAUUGCUUUCCCUAUUGUAAUACCUCCAUUAAGGAGAAUGAAGGGUUAAAAAUGUACCGACAGAUACUGGAAAAUUAUUGAAUGAAGUAAUCAACAUGAUUGUUCACUGACAAUAUUAUAUUCGGAAUAAUGAUAGCUGGUUGUUUUGGAUUGUUUUAGAUGUUGUAUUAGCCAAUUAGGCAUAUUGGUAUAUAUUAUUAUUAUAUGAAAUACUAUUGCCUUUUUUAUUAGCAAAAGACUUUCGGUUAAGAUUUUGCUUAAUUACACGAUUGCAUCGUGAUUGUUUUUAAGCUUCAUCAUUCAAUUCCAAAACUUAACGUAACAAAAGAUCUUACUAACAAUACUAUUUUAAUACCCAUUUUUUUCCCAGUCACGUGAGUGUAUAUGAUCUCCAUAUCUUUGGUACUAUAUCUAAAAAAUUUUUCCAAUCAAAUUAAUUAACACCCGCAGCUACAUUUAAGCAAAUUGUUCUAAGCCGCUAGGGUUUAAUCUAGUAGUUAAAACACAACCCUUACAAUUGUGAGAUUAUGCGUUCGAACCCUCACAACAAUACAUUGUGGGGGUUUAAUUUUCUUCUCUAAUUUGAGUGAAAGCAGUCUCAUAAAAAUAUGGAUUGUGCUUGUCCCAAAAUUAUUUAAUUAUAAAUAUCAGUAUACUAAUCUCAUAAAAUAUAAGUAAAUACGAGUUGGAAUAUGAUCAAUAAUGUCAUAUAAUUUUUUUUAUUUAAAAAAAAAAAAGCAAAGUGCUAUGCAAUCCACUUGAUAUUACGACAAUAACUGGCACACUAAUGAACAACUAGUAAAUUCAUUUUAAAAGAAAUAACACCCCAAAUCAUUAAUAUUUAAAAAGAAUCAUUUGAAAAAAUCUUAAAAAGUGUUCGGCAAUCCACUUGUCAUUGUAACAAUCACUCACACGCCACUGAUCAACUUUAGUUUCAUUCAGUAUGCCGAGAAAUAGAAUUUAAAAAUAACAACACCUCAAAAUCAUACAUAUUUGAGAAGAAUCACAUGAAAAUUGAGCAGGUCAAAUAGUUGUGUAUAGAACAAAUUUUUUCAUGAGACAGGCUGGAUAGCAAGAAAUGGAAGCCAACUGUGAGUUUCGGUCUUUCAUAGAAUUUGGCCUAACGUUGUCACAUUCACUAUUCACGUACCCAUAUUAUCAUCAUCCCAGUGGGCACUGGCACUGCUGAGUGCUGACCCAAUAGAACAAAAUAAUAAUAAUAAUAAUAAUUCCCACUUGCUCAAUAUUUUAUUCUUUUCAUUUUAAUUGUCAUUUUCCCAAGUAAAUAAAAACCUUUUAUGCAAUUAAUUCUGCUUGUCGGGUGGAUGAGGUGGUUCAUCACGUUCAAAUGUUCAAUCAAUGACAAUUUUAUCGCAAAUUCCAUUGCUUAUAAUUGUUGUAACCAAACAAAUCCCUGGUGCCUGCACUAACACCUUAGCUUCAUUUUCAAUUAAGGCGGUUUUCAACAACUUAUUAACUUUAUUUUUAAAGAAAAAGAAAUCCCAAGUGUUUUUCUCACUAAUUGAUUGCUUAAAAAUACUUAAGAAAAUUACCCACAAAUAAAUUAACGAUAAACAUUUAGUACUAGCUUAUGAUUUUUUUGGGGGGGGGGGGGUUUCUAAUAAAAUUUGGAUUAUUUGGGUUUUAUAUUUGAGAAAAGUUAAGUUACGACGAUCGAUAAUUAUAUACCCUUAAAUAAUUAUUAUCUAAUUUGGAUAUUUUUAUAUCUUAAUGAGUUCGUGUUGAUUUGCCAAUCUUACAAGUCUUUAUUUUACAAAAUAUAGAUAUUUAGAUUGAAAAAAACAUAUAUAUAUAUGUAUGACAGUAUGAGUAGUGUAUAUGUUACAAGAUAUUUUAAAAUUUAAUACUUUAGUUGAGAAAUGCCAUCACCCUCAACUACUCGGUUACAAGAAUAUUAUUGCGUUAUUUAAUAUUCUGUUAUCGAUUGCUUUAUUAGGAAGAAAUAAUGAAAAAUGGGACAUCCAUUGCUAAAGUACAACACAACAUUGUUGACAAGUGAGUCCCCCUUGAAGUGACAACUAUUUUUUUUCUUCCUUAAUAAAGGACGAGCUAUGUGUAUGUGGUUUUGCCGUGCAACCCAAGUUUCAAUGUCUGUAUCAUUUAUAGGGGGAAACCUUAGGUGCAACCCACACACGCCACUCGGCUUUUGGCAGCCUGGUUGAGAGGGCAGCAGUUAUUUUUGUGGGGGCUAAAACAUUCAUUCUUUUUUUCUUUUGUAAUUUUUCAUCUGUGAGGAUUAUUUGUCAAUAUAGAAAUUUGAUACUGUAAUCAAUAUUAAAAAAAAAAAAAAAAGUACCCACACAUACACACAUAUAUCUAAGAAAAUAAAUGAUGAAUACUAUGUAAGAGAAAAUUUGGUAGUUACAGGGUGAACACUUUCUUAUCAAAAUAAUAAUAAUAUAAUAAAUUAGAGACCCUCCUGAAUAUUUCCAACAUGCUUCUCAAAUUGCAUGAGUGUUGGAUUCAUCAACUUAUUAUUAUUAUUAUUAUUAUUAUUAUUAUUAUUUUAUCAUCAAUUGAUGUGCAAAAGGGUGAUGUUAUCAGUUAUCACGGCCUCCUGAGAAAAAAAAAAACUUUAAAUUCAACGUGAAAUGAAAAAUGUAAGGAAUCAAAUCGAAUUGUCAAAAUGAAAUGAGAGGCGAACAAUUUAACUGUUCAGAAAAGAAGCAAAGGCGCCAAAAGCAACGGACGGAACAUAAAAGUGGGUCCCACGUUUCAAAGGGACAAAACCAGAGAAAGCCAAAGCCCACCCCGCAACGAAAGUGAUGCCAAAGCUUACAAUUUGUAUUACCUUAAAAAUUCUGUUCGGUUCAUUUAAAUUUUAUUAUAAAAUCAUUUUCAAAAUUCCAAAUUUUAUAACCAAAAAAUUCGCUGCAUGCAGCGAGAAAGCAGCAAGUGAAGAAUAAAGGGUUCCCCCCGUCAGCAAGAAUCUUUUCUUUUUUUUUUUCGCUUUUUUUUUUCCCUUUGUUUUUUAAGAAAGCAAAAAUUAAGAGAGCAUUAGUUUUGCUGUCAUGAUAAGUAUGGUGUUCAAGAGAGUGUCGGCUAGUGGGAAGUGUUUUGUCAUUCAGUCAUUGUGUUUGCAAUUUUCUUAUGAACCCGUGUCAAUAAAAUGUCUUGGCUUGUGAACAGAAACUGAAAUUGAGCUUCUUUGUGUGUCAGUGAGAUUUACAGUGUCUGUGCAUUGAAUGUAUGGUUGCUAAAUUUUUGCUUUUUUCUUCUUCUUCUUUUCUUUUUUCCCCCCGAAGUGGAUAGUCAAGAAAUAUGAAGAGAUUAUGACUUGAGAUUUUUUUUUAUUUUAUUUGAAGUGAUGAUCUGAAUUAACUGGGCUUUGGUUUCUAUGGUAGAAGUUUUGUUCUAUUUUGUGAGGGGAUUUCUUCAUGAGUUAGGCAAGGAAUUAAUUCGUUUUGAAGUUAGAAUUUAUGUGUUCAAAGUUAGUUUCAAGUGACCUUUCUAAAGUCUUUAAGGUAUAUUGUUGGAAAUUAGCUGGCUUUUUUGUUCAAUCAGUCUCUCAAGAGGUAAGCUCCUUAUGAUCCUUUAGAAGUUUUUAGUUAUGAUAAUGUCGAUUGAUAAAUUAUCUGUAAUUUGUAUAAUAUUUGCAGAGUUUCUGUUGAUCUUGGGAGCUGGCGCUUCUGUAAUUGAGAAGCUAGAGGCAUCACUCUGUUAUCCCAGCGGAUUUUUAAAAGCUCUAGAAUCCCUUUGUGAUUUUCUCUAGUGUUCCUUUUUGUAUGCAUUGAUGGCAAGAGCAUCCAGAUUCAGUCAGUGUGCACUUCUGGUGCUUGCUUACAUUUUGCUUCAGGUCAAUCAUUCGGAGCAACUGCAGUCUUCUCAGGCUCAGACCCUUUUGAGGAUUCAAGGGCUUUUAAACAAUCCAACUGUUUUAAGCAGCUGGAAUAUCACCACUGAGUUCUGCAAUACAGAACCAACCUCGUCUUUAACUGUAGUAUGCUACGAAGAGAGCAUAACCCAGCUGCAUAUAGUCGGCAACAAGAGAGCUCCUACGUUGCCUCUAAGCUUUUCCAUGGAUUCCUUUGUGACGACUCUUGUUAAGCUUCCGGACUUGAAAGUCCUCAGGCUGGUUUCUCUAGGUCUAUGGGGUCCCUUGUCUGGUAAAAUUUCACGUUUAUCGUCACUGGAAAUACUUAAUAUGAGCUCAAAUUUCCUGAAUGGUUCUGUACCUCAGGAGCUUUCAAUUUUAACUAGCCUUCAAACACUCAUACUUGAUGAAAACAUGCUUGCUGGUCGGGUUCCAGAUUGGUUGGGUUCAUUACCGAUUUUGGCUGUUUUGAGCUUGAGGAAUAAUAUGUUCAAUGGGACUUUGCCUGAUUCGUUUAGUUACUUGGAGAAUCUUAGAGUUCUUGCGCUUUCAAACAAUCACUUUUACGGAGAAGUUCCUGACUUCAGUGGUUUGACUUACCUUCAAGUACUUGACUUGGAAAAUAAUGCUUUGGGACCUCAGUUUCCUAAAGUUGGCAAAAAGUUGGUUACAAUGAUACUGAGCAAAAACAAGUUCAGGUCUGCCAUUCCUGCUGAAGUGAGUUCCUAUUAUCAGCUUCAGCGGCUAGAUCUCUCAUCUAAUAGAUUUGUUGGACCAUUCCCUCAAGCACUUUUAUCCUUACCUUCUAUUACUUAUUUGAAUAUUGCUGAUAACAAACUCACGGGGAAGCUUUUCGAUGAUCUUUCUUGCAAUCCCGAACUUGGAUUUGUGGACUUGUCAUCAAAUCUGCUGACUGGACAGUUGCCGGAUUGUCUACUUGCAGGUUCUAAAAACAGGGUUGUCCUGUAUGCUAGAAAUUGUCUAGCAGCUGGAAAUGAAAAUCAACACCCGCUUUCCUUUUGUCAGAAUGAGGCUUUGGCAGUGGGAAUUUUACCUCUGCAAAAGAAGCAGAAACAAGUUUCCAAAGCAGUUCUUGCGUUGAGUAUAAUAGGAGGAAUUAUUGGGGGAAUCUCACUUUUUGUGAUUGCUUUCUUGCUUGUUAGGAGAACUAAGUCCAAGCAAACAAUGAAGAAGACUCCAACAAGAGUAAUUCAAGAAAAUGCUUCAACUGGGUACACCUCGAAGUUCCUCUCAGAUGCAAGUAAGGCUUCAUCUCCCCUUAAUCCCCCUGCCAAGUAAUUCCCAUUCUGUGUUUCUGUUGAAAUCAAGCAUGAAUCUGGGCACACCUCAAAGCUGCUACUGGAGUCAUGCAUUGUGCAAGCUUUAAUGUAUUUAUGCAUGUGUCCACACACAAUGUAGUGUUGCAUUUUUAGGACAUAGGACCGUAAGUUUUAAUUGAAAGGUUGUCUUUGAAUACUCUAUUUUGAUCAUCCAACUUGAAGCCCUCACAUAGAAAUUAUUGACCAGUCAGUUGCAAGAAAUCGAGUGAUGAUUGUGUUCUUGUCUUAAAGCCAGUUAAUAAUAUUCUUGAACUGUUAAAUUGUUGUCCAAGUUUUAAGCUAUAUUAAAAUUGACCAUAUGAUCGUUUGUGCCCCCUGAAGGGUAUAUUUCUCAAACAAUGAAGUUGGGAGCACUUGGUCUUCCAGCUUAUCGAACCUUUUCCUUGGAAGAGCUUGAGGAAGCUACAAACAACUUCGACACCUCUGCUUUCAUGGGUGAAGGUUCUAAAGGGCAGGUAUGCUACUCUGGUACAAUAUAUAUAUGAUGCCUACUUUCAUGUCGCAAUGAUGCACAGUAUGACAGUUCUGACAAUUUGUAUUUUCCCUUUGCGUGAUCCGUUCAAAGAACGGAAAAGGAAAAGUUGGUCCAGCAUUUCUCUACACCUCACAUAUUUCAUGCUUGCAGAUGUACAGGGGUCGCCUGAAGAAUGGUACCUUCAUUGCCAUUAGGUGCCUUAAAAUGAAAAAAAGCCACAGCACUCGAAACUUCAUGCACCAUAUAGAGCUGAUAUCAAAACUCAGACAUUGUCAUUUAGUCAGUGCUCUUGGACACUGCUUUGAAUGCUACUUUGAUGAUUCAAGUGUUAGCAGAAUAUUUCUCAUCUUCGAAUACGUUCCAAACGGCACACUAAGGAGCUGGAUAUCUGGUAAUUCAUGAAAAUCUUUAAUUCGUUUCUCAGGGUGGAGGAUAUAAAGUAAUUAAAGCCACUCUUUUGUACUCCUCUGCUCUAUAAGCCGGCUUUAUGGGGUCUUCAAAAGUAGCUGUGAAUUUUUUAACCUUGAUCCUGCGUGUAGUCAUUGAAUAAAGUAAUCAAUCAGUCUAGAUAGUUCAGUUUCCUGCAAGUAAUUAAUUUACUUAAAGAGAAUAAUUCGUGGUUUUUAAAAUAUAUUGUUCAAAGUCAUCAAGAAAAGACCGAAUCGGAAUCAUGUUCCAUAGUAAUCACAAGAAAUUACUAUUUUAUGUCCUCCAUCCUGACUUGUUGUUAUAUCCAGUUAAUCAAAUUAUGCCUUUAUGUUCUGGCUGGUUUCAAAGUCUUAGAUACUUUUAUGCAGAAGGGCAUGCCUGGCAAUCACUUACUUGGACACAACGUAUAUCAGCUGCAAUAGGGGUGGCAAGGGGCAUACAAUUUUUACAUACAGGGAUUGUGCCUGGUGUAUUUUCAAAUAAUUUGAAAAUAACAGACAUUCUACUAGAUCAGAACCUUGUUGCAAAAAUUAGCAGUUAUAACCUGCCUUUAUUAGCAGAAAAUGCCGAGAAGGUAAAAAGGAGAGAAUCUUCCUUUUCAUCAUUCUGUCCAUCUUUUCCAGUGCCAUGCACUUUUCAGUUGAUUUGUAGCUUGCUUCAUCUGUGCAGGUUGGUCAUGUAACCCCUUAUUCUGGAUCCAUAAAUCCUACAAAUAGUGCAAGGUAGGUAAUUGCUUCAAUAGUCUGACAAAUGUUGUUGCAGUUCAUUAGAAAUAUUAAAAAAUAGGGAUAUUAUCAUUUUUCCACCAAAGGUAUUCUGACACAUCAUGUCAGUACCACGGUUUAGUAAAACUAUCAAUUUACCACCAAACAUUUAAACUGUUAGCAUUUUCUCACCAUUCCGUUAAAACUCAGUUAAUAUGUAAUGAAAAUUUUCUAAAAGGUCAAUUUUACCCCUGGAGCAUAAAAGACCAUGUAAUUAACUUUUUAUGAAUUUUGUAAUUAAAUCAUCAUUUAUUGUUCUUCCUUCUUAAAGGACAAAAAUUACCCUUUAUGAAUUUUGUAAAAUUGACCGUGUGGUGUUAGGUAAUUCAUAAAUUGAUUUAAUUUAUUUAAUUUUUAAAGGGCAAAUUUAUUUAUUUAAUUUUUUGUGUAAAAUUAUUAUCAUCAUAUCAAAGAUUAAAUUGCUUCUUUUGCACUUUUUUUUUUUUUUGCCCUUUCAUAAAUUGAGUUUUAGUAGUAUAAUAAAUUGUCUUUAGCUCGUCAAUUUAAUAAAUAAAUUUGCCCUUUAAAAAUUAAAUCAAUUUAUGAAGUACCUAGCACCACACGGUCAAUUUUACAAAAUUUAUAAAGGGUAAUUUUUGUCCUUUAAGAAGGAAGAACAACAAAUGAUGAUUUAAUUAUAAAAUUCAUAAAAGGUUAAUUACAUAGUCUUUUACGCUCCAGGGUAAAAUUGACAUUUUAUAAAUUUUCUGUUACAUAUUAAUUGAGUUUUAACGGAAUGGUGGGAAAAUGCUAACAGUUUAAACGUUUGAUGGUAAAUUGAUAGUUUUACCAAACCAUGGUACUGACAUGAUGUGUCAGAAUACCUUUAGUGGGAAAAUGAUAAUAUCCCUAAAAAAUAAAAGGAAAAACUAAAAAGGAAGCCUUAACGGGCAACUAAAAUUGCUAAAAAGAAUAUGUUGGGUAUAAACGUAUAAGAUCAUGCACUAAUAAAUCAUGCUGCAUGAAUAUCUACUGCUAUGAGAAAAUAAGUGAUGACAAUCUUCAAAUUUCCUCUAGUUUCUGCUCUUAGAAUUUUCUAGUCAUACAAUUCUACCAAAACAAAUUCAUUCUGAUUUAAAUUGAUGUAAGAACUGUUCUCUCUACACUCUCUUAUUUGGCAGGGGGAAACUUGAAGAUAAGAUUGACAUUUAUGACUUUGGAUUAAUUUUACUAGAAAUUAUUGUUGGGAGGCCAUUAAAAUCCAGGAAAGAAGUGGAUCUUCUGAAAAAUCAGGUAAUGGUUCUGCUUGUUUACAUUACUUUCUUUCAAAAAUCUUUCAUAUCCAUUCUUCUUUCUCAGUCAUCAUGUGAAGAGUUCAGAAUGCCGUGGAAAUUUGAUCACUCUUUGGUGCACAGCUAACACAGUAACACCCUAGGAUUUGUGUUCUAAAAUUGCAUCUACUCGGGCUCUUCUAGAUUUAUGCCAACUCUACUGCUAAAACUUGAAUGUUUCUCUUCUUUGCAUCCUUAAUCUGGUGGCUUACAACUAUGUCAUGUUAACAUAGACCGAAACCUCUUCAUGAUUACUAGCUGGUUACUCAUGACAGCAUACCUUUGACUUUCUGUAGUUACAAGCUGUCAUUACUGCUGAUGAAUCAGCACGACGGAGCAUGGUUGAUCCAGCAGUUAACAAGGCAUGUUUGGAUGAGUCACUGAAGACAAUGAUGGAAGUCUGUGUCAGGUGUCUGCUUAAGAACCCAGCAGAGAGACCUUCAGUUGAGGACGUGCUAUGGAAUUUGCAGUUUGCUGCUCAAGUUCAGGAUGCAUGGCAUUCUCAGAGCAGUGAAGGGUCUCCAAUCUCACCUCCAUGGCCAUCACACCAACACCUUUCCUUUCAUUAGUUGCAACAUUCAGGUCCUUACACUGCUAAAUAUAAACCUGUUAACAAAUCUUUUGAUAUAAAUACACAUCUUAUUUCCUACAAACUCUCCAGUAAAUGUUGAGUUUCUGGUCUUCGAUCUUCGCUUUACAUUGUGCCUACUGAUUUGAAACAAAAAAUUUGAAAUGCAGGACAUGCUGUACGUGGCUUGAUGACAAUUGUGCCUGAACAUUUUCUAUCACUCCUACCUCUUUCCUUCCAUGUAAUUUUUGCGACAAACAACUCUAAAGUUACAGUUGAAGAUGACAUUUUUCAGAGAGACCAAAAGCUAGCUGUCUCUUGUUAUGCUAAACAUCUUGUUUCCAGUUCUCCAUGGUUGGAUCCUAGCACAUAUCCUGGAUUAUAGAUCAAUGGUUGCAGGUCCCGUAUCCCAGUCAAAUCAUCUAUGCAUUUGUUUAAUAUUUUUCCACAAUGAUGAUCAAAGGGGAUAUGUUGUCUGCGUCCAUUACUCUUUCUUUACUAUUGUAAGGUGCAGCUAAAAGUAAUGAUGUACAAGCUUUUUCUAUGUUAUUGUAUACACAUAUCUAAGCCCAAUGUUUUGGCAGGAGAUGGUUGUUCACUUUCGAACGUUUUGCUUCUUUCUGGGAUCCGGGUUGAAUCUCAAAUUUUUACAAUUUACAACCUCAAAAUCGUUUAGCCGUAGGUGUGGCCUGUCAAAAUUCAAGUUUCAAGAUCAGUCUCUAUUUGAAUAACAUUCAGUAAAACCCUACAGGUUUAGUAAGAUAUCGUCAACCUAACGGAAUUCAGAGAUCCAUCUUCAGCCAUUAAUAUUCCAUCCAACUUACAAUGCAAUGAGCGUAUCAGAUAUUGCCAGAACAAGAAGUCUCCAUUCACUAAUUAGAUUAAGACAGGAUUUUAUCCCAAGUCUUAAUCGCAUCUGUUCAAUUUUUCUAUGCAAUCGCUUUCCUAGCUCAUGGCCCCCAUAAUUCGUGGUCCUCUAUGUCAGUUGUCAUCCUCUUGAUCACCUUUAUAUUUCAUUUUUCCUCUUCAAAUAAUAAUGUUUCGAGGUUUCAUGUCCAUGGAUGUCGACAUGCUCAAGCUCGAGGAAACUCCAAAAGGGAGGUAAAAGGAAAAUGAGGUUGUAAUGGAGAAAGGGAAUUUGGUGAAAAAAUAAUCACCAUAAAACACAAUGCAAAAUAAGAGUUACUAAAAGACGGCCAUUCACAACAUUCAAAAAUCCCACAAAAUAAUUCCAGUGAGUAAGAGCUCCUCUGUUUUCCUCUUUUGAGAGUUGAAGAUUGUCUUUAAGACAUCAUUGUACUCCUAUACAAAUGCUACAAAUAAAUUACAGUUAGAUGAAAAAUGUUUCAAAAGUAUAAUUUAAAAAAAAAAUUGAGAAAUUAGCAAGAGGUUCAACCAGAGCUGUCUACAAAUCAUCCAAAGAAAUCCUCUAACUCUGAUAACAAUGCACCUGAAAUCACAUUUAUGAAGGACACCACUAUUGGACAAAUCCAGGGAACAUCGUCACUUCAGAACCAGAGUGCUUUUAUUAGGCUUUUAGUCUGCUGUCCAGCUCUGCUCCACUAUUUCCCGCACUCUUCGGUUGUACUCUCUCUUAUUCUCACUGAACAGCCGAGCUGCUUCAGAGUUUGCAGGAGAGUUUGGAUUUGGAUCACAAAGCAGAGACUGAUAAAGACAUAAGUAGCAUCGGGUUAGCAUCAUCUUGUACAUCCACUGACAACCCCCCAAGCUCAUUUAUUUUAGGAUCAACCAUAACUCACAUGAAAUCUCAUGCAAAAACCAAAUUGUCAAGUGCAAACAUAGCAUAUUUGAAAGCUAUAUUAUUAACCAAUUAUUUUAAAGAACACAUUAUAACCAAACUAUAAAUGUUUGAAAUAUUGAUGAAGAAGCUGAUGCAAGAUUCCAUCAUGUUGUGAGUGAGUGAGUGAGUCAGGGGGGGGGAGGGGAAGAAAAGUCAGUCACAACCUGGUAACAAGGAUAAUUUCAGUUUGAAUAAGCAUGUAUUCUGAUUACCAGCUACCAUCAACAAAGAUCAAAAAGAUAAAAGAAAAUGCCAAAAUCAUAACAAAUACUCCACAAUGCCAUCAUUGUUAUGAGAAAGACAAAUUUGAAAACUUUUCAUUUGCAUUUUAAGUCAAAAGACAAAUUUGAAAACUUUCCAUUGCAUUUUAAGUCAAGUUAAAUAUGGUAAGUACAAUAUCAUGUCUUCUCCCACCAAAAACAAAAAAAAAAAAAAGACAAUAUCAUGUCUUCUCCCACCAAAAACAUAUGGUAAGUACAAUAUCAUGUCUUCUCCCACCAAAAACAAAAAAAAAAAAAAGAUUCCAGAUUAAGAGUGCCAACAGUAAUACUACCUGGGAUACUUGUCAUUGUACGAUUUUGACCCCAUGCACAUGAGUUUAGGAAUGAGCAUGAAAUUUUACAGGUUCGUCUAUGUACAGUAAAAAGUGCUCUAUAUCACAGUUUUAUGUUAGCUUUCGCGUGGAUUAAAAAUUAGAUAACUAGAAUUCCAGCCUUGUUUUGUCUAGUCCAUAGAAACACUUGAAAACAGCCGCAUGUUUGAUACUAAAUCUCAAAAAUCAGUUUGUUUACAGCAUUUUUCAGAUGAGACAACUGACUAUAGAUUCCUCAAAUUUCUUUAAUGGAAAAUACUUAAAAUCAUUCAUAUCAAUGCAUCAAACAGUAAUAUUUAUGUGUCGUAUUUCAGACCAUAAACUUAAACAUCAAAUAAUAAAGUGACCAGGUCAUAAAAUCACAGAUAAAAGAGAAGCAAGAUAUGUUGGGAAGAAAACAAAAGAGAAACACCGUGCAAUUAGUCUUUCUUAUGCACAUAAAAGAUACAAAGGAACACAGUAGGCAAACCAAAUAAUAUGAAGUCAUCAUUUGAUGAAACAGGGACUUUGGUCUAUGCAAACCAGCAGAUUUUCUAUUUCGAAGAUUGUCUUAAAACAUGGAAGAUUCACAUUUAUGUUCAGUUAAUAUAUGAAAACAUAUAUAAUGAUGCAAAAAAAAUGCCUUCACAGUGCAGGCUUGUUGACCUCAUAAGCACUUGGAAUUGCGUCAGGGUAAGACAAUCUGAAAAGCUUUUAGCCACUAAUAUCAUGGGUGUGAUUCAGUUGCCAAUUCAAACUAUCUCCACAUUUCAAUUAAGUAGAAGGACUUAUAAAAAGAAGAAAGGGGGAAACAGGAAACAUAACAAAAAUACGGAAAAGGGGGAAACAGGAAACAUUUAACAGGGGAAACCUUAAAAAAUGUGUUAGUCAUAUUGUCUAUUCUCUUUUCUUUUUCCCCCUUCAAAGCAAAAAAGCAAUUUUCUUUCAAUAACCAACAUUAAUUAUAAGAAAUUACGCAGGCAGAAAACAUCCAAUAUCAAUCAAUGAUUAACAAGAAAUAGAAUCCUUUUCCCACAAUCAAGAAAAAUGAAAGAAAAGUCAAACAAAUUUGCACCUGAAUAGAGGUCAGUAUAGCUGCAACAUCAUAUAUAGGACUCCACUGAUUUUGUAAAAUAUCCAAACAAAUACUUCCAUCUGCAUAGACUGAACAAACCAUAGGCACAAGUCAGAAAUCAGAGUCAAUCAUUACGAAGACCAUGUGCAAUAUAAUAACAAGCAACAUAUCAUUUAUCACCAAAAUUCAAAGAGAACAAUAACAAGAAAAAUAUAAUUAAUAAAUAAAUAGAAAAAUAAUUUACAAAUAACAUACUAUUUGGAUGAAACAUCCGUGAGACGAAACGAACUGUUGGGGGUUUAUUUGGAUAAUCCUCUGUGAAUUGUAGAGUCAACUUGAACGUACCUGAAGAAAUUCAAGAAAAUGCUUAGAUGACAAAUGCAAAAACCUAAAUAUUUCAACUGUAAAGACAAAGGAUAAGGCAUAAGCAAUCAUUUUUGUUAAGUAGGAGUAUUUAGGCCUCAAAUGCGACUGAAAGCAAGGAUAGCACGAUAUAGAAACAGAGGUAUAAUUAUUUACUAAAGCAGAUUGUCCACCAUCAUGCAGCAAUCGAUCUAAAGCCACUUCGGCAAUUAAAAUUCCAUCAAAAACACCAUUUACAUAAUUGGAACGUGAAAGCAUCGUUUACAAGAUAGCUCAUUCUGCUCAUAUUGACAGUCCUUCUGAUCAAAGAUGAUGACAAAAAAAAAAGAAAAAAAAAAGAAAAAAAAAAGAGGUGAUCGAAUUUUCUCAACAUCAAACCGGAAAAAAAAAAAAAAAAAACCACUAACACAAACAUGGACAAGGUAAUUAAAUUGUAACAAUAUAUACAAGUUAUGACCCACAACAGCAAAUACAACACAAGCCAAGAACCAUAGGAAUUCAACCAUGUUCUAUACACAGAAUCAGCUUAGUUACAGGCAAAAUAAAAAAGUCAGCUCAUCAAAGCUUUCGCUUAAUUAUACAUUAAAACUAAUGAACGAAACCUAACAAGCAAAAGCUGAGUGAAAAAUGAAAUCAAAAGCAUAAAAUUAUUUCUAUAAAGUAAAAAGACAAUAAAAUUCCCACCUCCGUCCCAGGGAGUAUCAUCGGGCCUGCAAAACACCACGAAAAAGGAAAAAAAAAUCAAAACAAAAACCAAAAGAAGUACAAAAAAGAAGAAAAGGAAGAAAAGAAAGUGUACCCAAAAAUAACGGCGUUCCACAACAUGAUGUUGUUGUCUUGAGGGGCACCGCUGAUGCCGGCGGGUGGAUCUUGCUGGAGGCGCUUGAAGUCCCGCAUCAGCCGCUUCUUCGCCGGUGUUGACAUGGCGACGUCGUGUUCUACAGAGAGAGAACGAGAGAGGAAAGUUCUAGAGAAAAGAGGGAUCUGAGCAAAAAUCUAAUCUAAAGAAGACUUUGUUGCUGCAUACGAGUUGCCAUGACAUAGCAAUAGGCCCAGGCAAUAGGCAUAACCUGUGCAACACCGCCAGCUAGUUUUGGUUUGUGAAUUGUGAUUGUGAUUUGUGAGUCCCACGCACACACUCUAGUCACAGCCGCCUUCUACUUUUUAUUUAUUACGCGUCGUGGGAUCUGAGCUGUUCAAACUUCAAAUUGUUUUAUGUCAUUUACCGCAAGGGCCACGUAAUUUUGUUAUGUAUUUCGAAAGAAAUUAACCGCCGCCACCACCACCAAAUUACUUUAUUUUUUAAGAAUCAUCCAUUUUACCAGUAAUUGUUUGUAAUGCUGAAAUAUCUUGCAUGGGAGUGGAGAGGAUAAAGUAUCUGAAACUCUUCAAUUUAAUUUAAUCCGAAUUGGGGUUCGCAUCCAGUUCGGAAACUUUUCUCACCCUUCACUGGCCCCAACGUUCAGAUUCUUAUGCUACUAAAUUUUAAUUCUAUAAUAUUAUCCCUCUCCUCUCGACGACCCAUAAAUAAAUACACACCUUAUUUUGAAAAUUUCUUUCCCAUAUUAACCCUCGAAUAAAUGCAGAAUUUUCUGGUCUUUCAUUUUGGCUUGACAUCAUCUAUAAUGGUCUGAUGGGGGCAGUUACAGUACAUGCAUGUAUCUCAUACAUGCAUGCAUAAAAAAUUAUCGUUAGAUUAAAUGGAGUAGAUCCAAUGGUUGAGAUUCAUCUUAGUGUUAAAUAAUAAAAAAAUUUACAAGAAAUGAAAACAUGUAAAACUGGCAACUUGAAACUUUGAACUAAUAAAUAUGAAACAACUACCAUUAAUAUUGAUAUUAUAACCAUUAAACUUGAAACCAAAAUAACUUGAAACUUUAGACAACGAAUAUGAAACUUGUGAUCAUAAACUUGCAAUCUCAAGAAUCAUACAAAUCAUGUACCAAUAAUAUAUGAAACAACUACGAUUAAUCUUGAUAUUAUGACCAUUAAACUUAAAAAUAAAGUAACUUGAAACAUAGGGUAAUGAACAUAAAACUUGAGAUCCUAAAAAUCAUACACAUCAUGAACCAAUAAAUAUAAAACAACUACCAUUAAUAUUGAUAUUAGGAUCAUUAAACUUGAAACUAAAGUAACUUGAAGCUGAGAGCAAUGAACAUGAAAUUUGGGAUCAUUAACUUACAACCCUGAAAAUCAUGCAAUUAAUAGACCAAUAAACAUGAAACACCUACCGUUAACUUGAUAUUGUGACCAUUAAACUUGAAACCACAAAGAAUUUGAAACUGAGGGCAAUACACAUGAAACUCAAGAUCAUAAACUUGCAACCCUGAAAAUCAUGUAAUUAAUGAGUCAAUAAACAUGAAACACUAUUAUUAACUUGAUAUUAGAACCAUUAAAUUUGAAACUAAAAAAACUUGAAACUGAGGGUAAUGAACAUUAAAUUAGGGAUCAUUAACUUGCAACACUGACAAUUAUACAAUUAAAUAGACCAAUAAAUAUGAAACAUCUAUUGUUAACUUGUUAUGGGAACCAUUAAACUUGAAAUCGAGGGUAAUAAAUAUAAAAUUUGAGAUCAUUAACAACCCUAAGAAUCAUAUAAUUAAUGAAUUAAUAAAUACAAAACACCUACCGUUAACAUGAUACCGAUAUUAUUAAACUUAAAACUAUUUUUUUAUUGUUAUCUGACCUAUAUUAGUAAAAUAAGUAUUAUUUUAUUUCAUAAUUUUUUAAUCGUUUAAGGAGCUCCAAGUUCUUUUUCUUUUUUUCCAACUGUUUGGCUGCCAAGUGGCAAUGUUUUUUAAUUUUUUUAUUCCUUGCAUGUAUGUAUGCAUGUAUUAAUUUAUUAUAGCACAGGCCUGAUUGCAAGCAAAAACACUUUAGGGUCCUACGCUCAUCCUGUUCGCUCAUAGCCUAGCAACAACCGAUUCGCGCCUCAAAACAUUUUCUAUCACUCUUCUCUUGCCCCGCCUACGUAAAUUUGGUGACAAUCAUCACCACAAGGUUAACAGUUGAAGAGGAGAGACAAAAAGCUAGCUGCCUAACUGCCAAUGCCUGUUAAGUUACGUCCUGCAUCCCAUCAAGUAUGGUCCUGUAGCCACCUCCUAACUUAAUUGCCUCCCUUCAUCCCUAUUUCAGAGAAUAUAAUUACAAGGUUUCACCUCCAGCAAUGCGGACAUUGUCAAGCUCAAGCAUAUUGAAAAACAUAGAUAAAAAAGAGGGAGGUUAUAAUACAUUCCAACAGUAAUGGAGAAAAAAGGGCUUCAACAGAAUAAGCAAUCACCAUAAAAAUACAAUGCAAGAUGGCCGUUCACAACAUCCAAAAAUCCGACUAAAUAAUUCCAAUGAAAAAGAGCUCCUCUGAGGUUGUCUUAAGACAUACAUCACUGAUUCACUGCAGCAAUAAUACCCCUAUACAAAUGCUACAGAUAAAUUACAGUUACAUGAAAGAUGUUGAAAAGAAGAAGAUGGAAAUGUUGAGAAAUUAACAAGAGGUUCAACCAGAGCUAUCUGGGAGGAAGAAUCUGAAGAGAUUCUCUAAUAACAAUGCACCUGAAAUCAGAUUGAUUACGGAGUACACGACUAUUGAACAAACCAGCCACACCAGCCCCAGUUUUCAUCUUUUAUUUCUACAGCAUAACCGGCCGGUGCUUUCAUUGGACUUUUAGUCGGCUGUCCAGCUUUGCUCCACUAUUUCACGCACUCUUCGGUUGUACUCUCGUUUAUUCUCACUAAACAGCCGAGCUGCUUCAGAAUUUGCAGGGGAGUUUGGAUUUGGAUCACAAAGCAGCGACUGGUAAAGACAUAUAAGUAGUGUCAUGUUAGAAUCAUAAAUACAACCACUGCGAAUCUCACAAGCUCAUUUGCUUCAAGAUCAACCAUCAUUUGUACUAAAUAUCAUUUGAAAACCAAGUUGGCAAGUGCAUACAUAACAUAUUUGAAAGCAAUUGACUAACCAAUUACACCAAAAAAAAUAAAGUUUUGAAAUAAUGGGGAAGAUAAUACAGGGGGCCAACAUAUGGUGACAGAAUCAAUGAAACCUGGUACUAAGGAACAUUUCAAUUUAAUGAAAACAUGUGUACUAACUAACAUCGACAUAGCAAAACAGGAUAAAAUAUCCUGAAAACCAAACAAUGCAAUCCUUGUCAUCACAAGGCAAAUAUGGAAAUGUUCCAAUGCAUUUUAGUAAGUAUUAGAUAUGGUACGUACAACAACACUUUUUUGAAAAUUGGAUAUUGAUGAUCGUCUCAAACAUGGAAGAUUCACUUUUUAACUUUGUUUAAUAUAACAAAAAAAUAUACAUAAUGAUGCAAAAAGGCCUUCACGGUACAGAAAUGUAAGCCGACAGAUGCUUUCGGACGUCAUGAGCACUAAGAUCUUAUUAGGUUCAGAUACUCUUAGAUAUAUUUAGCCAAUAAUAUCAUAUGUUUGACUUAGUUGAGUAUACCAUUCAAACUAUCUCCUCAUUUCCUUAAAAUGGGAGGAAUUACAUAUACACGAAACAAAAGGACAAAACAAGUUACCAGUCAUAUCAUUAGUAUCUUCUUUCUUUGAUGCAAAAGCACAAUUUUCUUGCAAGUUCUCGAUAAUCAGGCAUUAAUUAUAAGAAAUUAAGCACAGUGAAAACAUCCAAUUUCAAUCAAUGAUAAACAAGAAACAGAAUCUCUUUCCAAUAGACAGGAAUGAACAAGAAAAGUCAAAACGAAGUUUCACCUGGAUGGAGGUCAGUAUAGCUGCAACAUCAUAUAUAGGACUCCACUGAUUUUGUAAUAUAUCCAGGCAGAUACUUCCAUCCGCAUAGACUGAUCAAACCAUAGGUAAAGAGUCAGAAAUCAAAAUCAAUCGUUAUCAAGACCAUGAGCCAUAGAAUCCCUAUAGCACAAUAAUCAGCAAAAUUCAAAGAAAGAAUAAUAGCAAGAAACUUAUCAUCAAUAAAACAUUAGCAACAAAAUUUAAAAAUAAGAUAAUGACGUACUAUUUGGAUGAAACAUCCGUGAAACGAACCGAACUGUUGGAGGUUUAUUCGGAUAAUCCUCUGUAAACUGAAGAGUCAACUUGAACGUACCUAGAAAAGUUCAAGAAAUAGCUAAAACAACACUUGCAAAAACCUAUAACUUUCAAGAAAAAGAGACGCUAUAACGAAAUAUGAUAAGUCAUAGGCAAUCAUGUUACUUAAUGGUGGUUCAGGUUUAGUGGGAGUCUUUAUUUUAAGCCUACAAUGUAAAUCAAAGCAAGUAUACCAUAACAUACAACCUAACAUAUAAUUAAUUACAGAAGCAGAUUGUCCACGAUUAGGUAACAAAAAUUCAACAAAAAUAAGCUACAAUCAAAUAUUAGGCAAAACCAAUAAUUCAGCUUAACAAAAGUUUUACAUUUUUACAGCUGAAUGAAAGUAAAAUUAAAAGCAUAAAUAUUUUGUAAAAAUCAAAGAUAAUCAAAUACCCACCUCCGUCCCAGGGAGUAUCAUCAGGCCUACGAAACAUCACCAAAUGAAAAACAAACAAGAAAAUCAAAACAUAAACCAGAAAAGUUACAAGACAAAAACAAAGGUUAAUUAAAACAAAUACCCAAAAAUAACGGCGUUCCAUAACAUGAUGUUGUUGUCUUGAGGGGCCCCGCUGAUUCCGGCGGGUGGAUCUUGCUGGAGGCGCUUGAAGUCCCGCAUCAGCCGCUUCUUCGCCGGUGUUGACAUAGUGGCGUUUUAGAGAGCAAAACUGAGAAGCGGCUUUUGCAGAGGGGGGGAGGGGGGAGAAUGAGAGAAGAAGCUUCUAGAGAAAGAAGAGAUCUGGGCAAAACCUUGUGAGGAUGCUGCAUGCGAGUUAACAUGACAAUAAUGGGCCGGGGCCGGGGUUGGCUGAGCAGUGAGCACCAAUUUUUCUUUUUUUAAUUUUAAUGUUUAACGAUAAAGUUACAAAUUUUUCCACGCAUUUUUAUUUUAUUUUAUAUUGAUAUUAAUUCAAUUCGUUUUAGUCAGUGGGCUGAGGAAAAAUAUACAUAUGGUCCCCACGCCACACACAAGUAGGACACCUAUGUAUUUAUCGAAAUUGACCUUGGCCAAAACUCCUUUCCAAAAUCGUCUUGCAUCCUUCACAUGUUCUCUCAUUGGAAAGCAUGUAGUGCAGCAAUAUGUCAAACACCAGUACACCACCCGCAAAAUUCUACAGAGAGUAUGAGUAUAUUGAGGAAUUUGAUAUUAUGGAUGCAUUUUUGUCCAUAUUUGCAAAUUCCUCAUUUUCUCAAAUGCUUAGCUCAGCACUCCUGUCAUUUAAUGAAAACCAUCAGGGACGAUAAUGAUAUUCGCAAACCCGUAAAUCCAUUCACACCAGUCCGUUGCGGGUUGUGAGCGGGUUUGAUAUUAGGAAUUGAAAUUCGCACUAUGUUGUAGGUGGAUUUAGUAUUAGGUACAUAUCCGAUGGAUACUCACAUGAAUAUCUGCCAAAUCUAUAAUUUUUUUAAUACAAUUUUAAUUAAAAAAAUAAUUAAAUCUAAAAGUAUAUAAAUAAAAUAAAUAUAGAGUGCAAACAUGUCAUGUGUGGUGUGUGCAAGUUGCAACUCAUAACCUAACCUAAAGGAAACCUAACUUAAAGGAAACCCAAACUAUUUCUUUUUCAUCUGUGAGCAGCAGUCGCAAAAUCUAACCUUCUAAACUAUUUCUCUUUCACCCAUGGGCAGUAGCCGCACACCCAUUUUCCUUUCACCCGUGAGCCGCAGCCGCACACCCAUGAAAUUUUCAUGGCAUUUGUGGUUAUUUUUUAUGGAUUUAUAUAUUUCAUACUUAAAAUCGAGAAUUUGUAUAGAAUUGAUGUUGAAAUUUUAAUUUUAUAUUUACAUUGAUUAAAUUUAAAAUUCAGUAUAUUAUGUGGAAUUUUAGCUUAAUAAUAUAAAUUUACAUAUUGAUUUUUAUUAAUAUAACCUUUCGACAGUCAAAUCAGUCACCAGACUUUUGGAAAUAUAAAUUUAGAAGGAGAAAGAUUAGAGAGAGAAAGUUAGACUUUUUACUUUUUGAGUCUAUUUUUUUUCUUACAUUUUAGUGAGAAUGAAAGACAUAUUUGUCGACCAAACGGAUUUGACUUAAGUCUUAGCUAUUUUGAUGACAAAUGUCAUUGCUCUUGUGACAUUUGACAACACUUAUUUUUUAGUACGCAUGUUGAUUGACAUAUGGAUAUACAAACUUAUCUAUAGAUUAAAGGAAAAAAACGUUUUAUCUUUAGGUUAUUUUUACUAAGACCUUGAGAUUAUAGGAGCCUUUAAAUUUAAGAGGUUUGUCCUACGAUAAGAGCCUAGAACCUCAACAUCUUUUGGGCUUUGAAGUCUUAUUACUUAGGAGAAUCAUUCUAGGUGAUUUGUCCACCACUUCGUGGGCUUAAUUGAGAGAAAAUUUAUUAAAUGGGCCUUAUUGAGAUUAAAUUUCUUUGGGCUUUAUUAAAUCUAUUUUAUUUUUGAUCCAACACCAACUUGGAUUUAAGAUUCAACACUGCCUCCUUUAGUUGGAAAGAGUUCAACUUCCCUUCUUAGUUUGUAUAAAAUGUAAAUUUCUUCAUAAUUUAUUAUAUCUAAAUUCUUCACCUUUUGGGGUCAAUUUAGCUACGCUAAUCAGAGUUGACCCCGAUAAAUUUGUAAUCUUUUUUGUUUCAUUGUAUGUUGUUGUGUGUUUAGUCCUCUAUCUAAUACAUCCGUAUCACAAUUGCUUGUACGCUAAUUUCCUACUGUGUAAUUUUUUUAUGUUAUUUCGUUAAUUUCCUCCAACAUGACUCGGGGACAGGCUGCUGCGAGUGGGACUGUGAGGUCUUGCAAUCCAAUUAAUUGGGCAUAGUGAUGGACCAGGACUGUAUAUAAAAGAACUGCUUAAAGAUCGUACAAUCUAGCAUCGGCAAGGCCAGUGCUUUCUAUGUAUUUGAUUACUAUGACUCCAUAAAAAGUAUAUAACAUGUACUGUAAAAUCACUUAAACUGUUAAUUAUUAAGAGAAAACUAAAGAAAAAUCAAGAAACCCUGAACAUAAAACGGAAGUUAAUUUGUUCUCCUGUGAUUGUGAAGUAUCUGAUGAUGAUCAUUAGUAAACAUGAUUGGAAUCUGACUCUCUUCUUCAUCAUCUUCGUCGUCGUGGGCAGGCCUUGAAAGUUCAUGAAGAGGCUCCAUGCUGUGGCAAGAUAGCACUGUCUCAGCUGCAAAGUCGAAGUUGGAAGUAAGGUUGCUCAUGUUGAUGAAGUUUGUGGAGGCCGAGGAGCUGUUUGAGUAAGCAGGCUGCUGUUGCUGUUGAUGCAGUAAUGCAACAUGUUGCGGCUGUUGCGGUUGCUGUGAUGUUUGGAGAGCGUUUGCCAUCGCAAACCUGCUGUUUAAAAGUUGAUUUUGCACCAUUGUUAGCUCUGCUUGCAGGGAGGCCACCUGCAAUUUAAUAUUUAUAAUAUCAAUUGCUUUUCUUAUUGCAGUUUUUGGUUCAAUGGGGGCUAGAAGAAUAAAUUACAGACUUUAAAGGGCUAAAAUAAAAUAAAAGAAAAUCUGUAAUGCUAAAAUGUAAAAUGUUCAAAGUAAUUGAUCAAAUUUCAAUUAACGCCCUUAUUUUUACCAGAAUUUUGUCACCUUUUAUGUGACAUUUCUCAUGAAGCGGUACGCGCAAGAAUUGGUAGUUAAUCUACUCUUAUAUAAAUAAAAUAAUAGUAAUAAUUAAUUAAUUUUUGUAACUGAAACGAGCAUUUGGCUUAGAAACAAAAUUAAUUACUAUCGGCAAAUUAAAACCUGUUGCUGCAGAGCAAGAAUGGUGGAAACACAACCGUAAACCGGGUCGGAGAGGCGGGCCUGGGCCUCGUAAGAUAUAGUAACCACAGCAUCUUGCCGCCGGUUCACCGGAAUGUGUAGCAAGAGCUUGGAUACAUUGCUAGCACCAAAGACUUUGUGCACGGCAGCGAACCGGGCGGCUCCCUGGUCUGAGCCAAAGUGGGGUGCAAAGAUGCACCCACUAACGCACUUUCUCCUCAAGAACUUGCAUGCCCCACAUGGAGCUGCUGGUGCAGGUGCUGACAUGGGCUCGGCCUCUGGCGAGGGCGCGGUGGUGGCACGUUUUCCAGCGCCCCUUCGACGGGGUUCGGAUAUGGGGUCGGGCUGUUGCUCAGCCAUUUUCUGGGGUGGGUUAGGCUCAGAGUUUGUUCAAAACGGAAAGGUGGUGGAGUUGUUACUUAUAUGUGAGAAAUUAUGACGCUGGGCACGUUAGUUUCGUGAUGGGUAGCAUGGUGAAUGUGGUAAGCUUCUUUAUCUUUUUCGUUUUUGUUUUAAAAAAAAAGAAUAUGUAUGACCAUUGCAACCCAUUUUUGUAAAUUCCAUAUAAAUGUGGAUAUACACACACACACGAAUAAUGUAAUGACCAAUAUUGCUAAUGUUAUAAUCUAUAACAUCAUCGUGUGAUGUUAAGUUGAUAAAUACUUUGUGUGAUGGUGUCAUGUAUGUUGAUAAUGCUCUAUAAGGUGAGCAAUCGUAUCAUGCCAGUGUAAUUAAAUUGAGGUAUAGGCUAAUACUAUCAUACCAUCGAUAUUUAACAGUAAUUUUGUAUGGUAUAAACUACAUAAAUGGCUAUUUAUGAAUAAAUCAAAGAACUUAUAUAUCUUCGUAUUGACGAGAUUAAAUCUUUGUGCUAUUGUCCAUGAUAUAUAUUAAUUAAUUAUAGUUUGUUUUUAUAUAUAUUUUUUUUCCUCUACAAAACGUGUAUCUAGCUAAUUAUCUUUAAAAUGUAAUUAUGAUAUCAGAAACAAGAGAGGGACAUUAUGGUUGGUGAGGGAGGGAGAGAUGGAAAUGGGAAGAGCCUGAGAGUGUGAUGGGCACGGGCAAAGGAGGUGUCGGUGGGUGGGUUAUGGGUUUAAUUAAUUAAUUAAUUACAGGUUUAAGAUGAGAAAAUUUGAAAAAUAAAAUAAUGAUGUUAAUAUUUAAGGUUAUUAGUUUGGAACAUGAAUCAUGAUACAUGAAGAAGGCUGGGUUGUCUUGAUGAGAAGGCACAAUAUUUGUGCUGCCCGUGGCGUGUGGGAUGCUUCACCUCCAACUCCAAGCUUGCUAAUGCUAACAGUAACAGAAGUUCCAGACACUUCCAGUAAUGCAUUUUGCACUCACCCUUUUUAACUUUCACUCCUCCUCGACAUCCCUACGCAACUUCACUACACAUCAUUUUUAAUUUGCAACAUUGCAUUCCAAAAUUGGGUCUCAAAGAUUAAGAAAAAUAUAUACUGGUCCAAGAAGACACAAGAUAAUUCUUCUCGUUAAACAUAUAGAGUAGGGUGAACUUGGGGUAAAUCUUGCAAUAGAUAGAUUCAAGUAUUCUCUGAAGGCAAGAUUCCAAAACAAGAAGUGCUGCCACAGUAACAUGGUAGGCCCUUUGGCCUGGCCCUAAUUUCCCCGUAGCUAAAAGCAAGCUCUUCACCUUCUUUUAUGUCUUUUGAAGCCAAGAAGCAGAGGCGAGGAAGUAUAGAUCCUGAGCUUCUCACCAGUGUUGUUGACAGGUCACCACCAUCGCAAGAAUGAUUAAUAAAUCGGGCAAUGUUUCCAAUUAUUGUGGCAUCAAUGUUCAUCCUCAAACAAGCCUUUCCAGAUGGAAGGUGCUCCCUUAUGACCAAAAGAGCAGAGGAAUUUCCGGGACUCGAUGCAAGUCCAUCAUAGAUUUGUUGCCGCCGCCUUGCUUCUUUUGUGGUCAAAAGUUCACCUAUUCAAGCAAACAUCAACUAAGACAAUUUCUAACAAAUGUCCACAGAAACAAACAAUAAUUAUUUCUUAAAUAUCCAAGUAAAUGAAAAUGUUUUACACACUAGACCAAUUCAAAGCAAUCAGUUAUUACCAUAAUGUUUCAUAAACCCCGUGAUGUGGGAAGAAUGGAAAGAAAGAUCAAAAACAUCACCCAAAGUGCCCAACAAUGGCUAGUUGAAUGGAGAAAAUACAAUAGAGAGUCAAAGCUAUAACUCAGGAAAAGUAAGCAGCUAUAUAAUGGUAGUCAUAAGAACUGGAAGAUAUGGCUAACGGCAAGCUAAACAGCCCUAUGGUAGAUGCAAAACAUAGUGGUUAUAGACUCUAUUCUACCACGUAGCAGAUGUAAAAUAUAAGCUGUAUUAGACGAACAAAAUUUGCCUACCAAUUAGGCAAAAUUAAUCCAAAUAAUAAGGGAUAAAAACUAUAAGAUUUGAAACAUGGGAUUCGAUAAUACUGCCAUUGAACUAGAAUUGUACGAACUGAAGGUGGUCUUCUUCUUGGUCAAAAUAAAUAAACAAAUGUAAUUCCUUCAUCCGCACAAUCCCAUUCUAAAACUAUGAACUUAUGAUUCCAUACUACCGUAACACAGCAGAAAUAUAAUUCCAACAACGGCACGCGCUAAAUCUAAUAAUAAGUCUUACUGUAUCAAAUAAUCAUCAAGCAGAUGCAACUAGGCAUAUGUAUAAUUAAAAUCACAAGCAUCAAAAACUCUAAACAAAUAUUACAAAAAUGCCAACAUACAUUUCCAUUUUGCCGAUACCUGCGUACUCACAGAUGAAUUGCCCUUGCUUUAUGAAUUGAUCGGCAUAUAAACCCCACCCUUUAUUCACACUCCUCACAAUCUUCAAUCUCACCGAUAUUCCUCUCUGAGUCAACCGAUUCCCGCACUCAGACCCGCACCCGCAACUCGGUCCGCACUCACUCACUAUGCCCACAUCCUCCAGACCCGAAAAACACGGACACCCAAAUACCCCAUCACCAAGUCCCACCUCAAAACACUCUUCACAGUCGCACCCAGAUUCACUUUCGUCUGACUCGCAGACAAGACUCACUGAGUCAAACCCGAGUGGACUCAGAGAAGAGUUUGAUUCAGCAUCAGCAGCAGCAUUGGUGGAGGCCCAAAAUUGGCGUGGUGGGAAUUGGGCAGGACAAGGAGGAGGGAUUAUCUGUGAUGGGGUGUAAAUGAAGUAGGCGUAGGGGGUUUUGUCGACGGCAUUGUGAAAUGGGAUCGGGAAAUUCUCGACGGACCUGGAGGCAUCGAGAGAGCGGGAGAGAGUGAUGGAUUUGGAGAUUUGGGAAAAGGUUCUGCAUGUAAGAGAUACGUUGGCGAGCUCCCCUGGGGUUAGCCAUGGGAGUAUUAAGCGAGCCCACUGAAGGAAUUGAUUCUGCUUUUGUUCUUCAUCUACCUCGAUGGUUCGUUUGUGACAGUUUAUCAGCUCCGUCGGUGCAUUGCUGAAUGCCAUCGAGUUUUCAAUGCUGUGUCGUCUGGAACUCGCAUAGUCGCAUCUCGUUUGUUGUGGUUUUUAAGUUUUAGCAUGAACAAAAUGUACACACGGAAAAUACGAUGUCGUUUCGACCACUUGCUCUAAAAGUCUUAAUUGUUAUCAUUAUUAAGCAGAAGCGAAACAAUUACAUGGGGGUUUCGUAGGGGUGUUCAAAAUCUAAUUCGAUCCGCUCAAUUCAUCCAAUUCGCUGAAUUUGAUCCGUAUAAAUUCGAUUCGUGGAUUGAAUAUGGAUUGAAAAUUUAAAAAUUCGUAGUCAAUGGAUUGGAUAUAGAUUUACUUCUGUAAAUCUGCAGAAAUCGGUGAAUCCAUAAAAAAAAAAAAAUUUAGCCAAGGCGGAUGUACGGUACAGCAGACUUUGGAUUAAUUUCUGAAAUUACAUUUGCAACAAAAUUAUUAUAUUACUCUUUACAUUUCAUGUGGCAAAAAAAGUUCAAAGACACCAAAAAAAAACACCUUACUACGUAUAUAUACACAUCUCAACACACACUAGCAACAUUCAAUACUGGUUGGAUACACUCUCGACACGGAUUUGAAGGACAUCAGCCGCGCGAUUCCGGCGAGAGCAAGCCAUCUUCUUUCCCAAGUCCAUCAAGCCACUUCACAUUCAUUGGUUCCAGCUGAACAAUUUCACUAUCACAACCUUCAAGAUCGCCACCCGUACGGCUUCUCCUGGUUCCUAUUGUAGAUGGUUCCGUAAUCACCACUUUUCGACAGGCGCAACAGCCCUGGUGAAGGAUCAGACUGUGUUUGGUUUCCAAAACUUCGUCAUUUCAAUUAAUUGUGGCUUUAUUUGAACAAUUAAUUUCGGUGUUAUAUUAACGUAUUAUUGUAACUUUAUUUGAACAAUUAAGCUUGGUGUGUUAUAUUUUGAAACUUUGAACGUAUUAUUGUAGCUUUAUUUGAAUAAUUAGUCUCGAUGUGUUAUAUUUUGAAACUUUAAAUGUAUUAUUUUAGCUUUAUUUAAACAAUUAAUUUAUUUAAAUUUUAUUCAAUUUUAAAUUUAAUUGGUAGCAAAAUUAUUUUAAUAUUAGAUUUUUUUAUUUCAUCAGUUGGAGAGAACUAAAAAUUUUUAAUUCGAAAACUAAUGGGCAAAAUGGUGGAUUGCAUAUGGAUUGAGUCAAAUCCGCAUCCGAUCCACAGACGUAUGGAUUGGAUAUGGAUUAAAUCAAAUCCGCAUCCGAUCCGCAGAUGUAUGGAUUGGAUUUAAAUUGAAUUUUAUCAAUCCGUGGAUUGGAUUGGAUUGAAAAAUUAUAAUCCGCAAAAUCAUGGAUCAGAUAUGGAUUGAUGUCCAAUCUAUAAAAUCCGAUCCGUGAACACCCCUAGGGUUUCGUGACAUAAAAUGUGGCAAAAGAGAGAUAUGUGAGACUGCUUUUAUAAUUAAUUUUUUGGUGACUUUUACAACCAAAGCAUCCCUGGAAGGCUGGAAGUGAAAAAAAUAGUGAGUUAAUUACAAGAUUGUAUACAGGUUGAAAAUGACUAUUUCUCUAAUGGCUCAAUUUUAUCAUUUUGGUUUGAAGGCAAAAAUUGGCUAUACUCUCGUGUAUUAACACUUCAAAAUGUGGUUACAAGACCUAUGCCUAGCUCUUCUGCAAGCUCAUCCCAUACUGGAAGGAGUGUGAACAGAACAAGGAAUAUGGCCACUGUAACAAUGGCUUUCCUCCACGUUCCCACCUCAGUCACAUCGUUUAGGCAUGGUUUUUCUGGAGUUCUCUGAAAAACAUAUAGUUGAAGCCGAAAUCAGAAAAGGAUUUGAAAGCAUGAAAAACAUAUAAUUCACCCUUAUUUAAUUUUGCCUAUCUGGGUACCUGGCAUAUUAUCACAUAUAGUCCCCAAGGAAGGGAUAAAGGCCCACCAAGCUGGAAGCAGAAAAAAAAAAAUUAGUUGAGAAUAUAAAUCACCUGUUCAAUGAUUUAAAAAACAAACUUAUCUGAAACGUUAAAGAUGCUAUAUCGAAUCAAAGUAAAUCAAAUAAAAUAGAAUGGAUGCAGCAUUGUAUUAUGUGCCAUCAGCACUAGAAUGACCAAACAAAGAAGCAUACCACUCCCAAUCCAAGCAUUGUGUAAGUUGUCAAGCCAAAACCAAUCAGUGCAUUUCUUCCAAAAGCACCCUAUAAGCACAUGCCAUCAGUUUGUGCUAAGGGAUUGAGAUUGUUUCCAGUCCAAAACUAUACCCCUUGAUUUAACAAAAUGGAUAUCCCAGUUCAAAUAGAAGAUAAAAAGGCUACCUGUACAGCUCUUCCACCAUCAAGGCACCCCACUGGAAGCAUAUUAAAAGCUGUUGUGGUCAAGCCACACCUGCAAUAGUAAAUUUUAUGCAUCAGCAUACCUCAUAAUGUUACAAGUAGAAUAAGAGAUUCAAGAAAUUGUGGGCUACCAGCCAGCAAUCACCAAAGGAUGAAUUGUAACUGUUGAAGCAUGCAUUGCUCUGCAAGUUAAUAAGAGCAACGUGUCAAUAAAAAUUUCCAUGAUGCAAGCAAGAAUUAUUAAGUUCAGAUUAGUCAUCUGCUAGAGUAAUCGAAAUAGGAAACAUAGCAGUGGCACCAGUGAAUUCAUAGUUUGCCAACUAAUACAGUUUUUUUUUUUUUUUAAACUAAGUCCAUGGAAGCAGAGAAGGGCUCACGUGUAACCAAGAGUGGCUCUGCUGAUGAGACCAAGAAGCAAUGAACCUUGAAACAAUGUGCUGGGAACCUGCACCAAAUCUCCAGCAGCAUCUGGAUUUGAUGAGAGCAAUAGGCCAACAACAAACAUUGAGAAAGAUAAAGCAGCACCAGCAAUAGGACCCGCGAGUGAAAUGUCGACUUUUGUACUCCGAUCUGGAAGAAUGGAUUUAAACUACAAAAAGAAAUAUGUUUUAGUCAUUCAACUUAGAUGAUUGAUUCUAAGAUGCAUUAGACUUGACAACAGAUAACUUGCAGAGUUGCAGUUAUUUUCCAGAGUUCUUUAUCUAUUGAAGAUCAAAAUCUGAGAACAAGAACACCUGAUAGGAACAAUGCAUUCAGACUUGAAAGUAAAAAUAGGCAUACGAUUUUUCCAACUUGUUUCAAAGUCUACAGACUAGAGUCACUGUCAGAUAGGUUUACCUGAGUGAUUGCACCAAAGCUGCCAAGAGUAAUGUUUGGAAUGAAAAAGGGAAUGCUUAGUUUUACUUUCUUCGGGAAAGCAGCUAAAAAGUGACCAACUUCCUGCAAACAUUCAUCCCACAUUUAGCAAGACAAACCACAGCAUCAGAAUUUAAUUAAUACAUAUAUGACCAACAUUUGAUCAUGUCACAUGGAGGAAAAACACUAACCAAGAAAUAGUUAGAAACAAAAUUAGACAAUGCAUAAUAAAAAUUCUGAUUACUGUUAUAUUCCAAUCACUAAUAUACAUGCUGUGUGAUUCUCUGACUGAAAAUCCUGAGCGUUGAAAAACACCAACAUUAAUAGUACAGUAAUCAAUGAACAAUAUCCAUGCAUCUGCCAGAGGUUCGGAAGUGUUCAAUACAGUGUCAAAAAUGGCAGUCAAACUAUCCAUACACAUGAAAAUGAAUUACCAAAACCAAUUUAUGCACACAAUCACCAUAAGAUAUUAAACUUCACUCCCCACUAUGAGGUUUUCACAUCAUAUAUAAAAUGCUUUAACAAGUUGACCAAGAUAAAGAAUGUCAAACCAAACGUGGUAGCAUUAGCACAAUCCCUGUGAUUUAUUUGAAGGAAGUUUGACUUCAUGACAAAGAAUGCUGAAUUCAAACUAUAAAUUAGGAUGCUAAGCAAUUAACUAUACCAGAAAUUUUGGUACUUUAAAAAACAAAUAGUUGAUUGUCUACCUCAAAAAAUUGUCAUGUUGUAGUAUCACAUAGAGCAGUUUCAGGUCCCAUCUGCUUAACUAUCACCCUAAACAUUGGCACCACUGAACAAACUAGAACUAACAGAAGUAGACUACAACGAGACGGACAUAUCAGAAAUUUGAGCACUUCAUAAAAACAUAUAAAAAUAGAGUGCAGAAAGUAGAUAAAUUUCUGCAUAUAACACAGCCCAAUAUAAUGUGGUAGGCAACCAAAAUGUCCCAUGUGCUUAUCUAGCCAAAACCAAAACAAAUGAAAUGUUGCUUACAUGAAAUACCAGAACGCCCAAGACACCAUAUGCUAGGGGCAAAGCAGACUCUACAAAAGGGUACAGCAGCUCCACAUCGGGGGGGUCAAUGGCAUUUGGAUCUGUGAAGUAUUUUACUAUCUCAGGAGGCAGUCUAUUUAUCUGUUUAAUUAACAGUAUGCAAUCAAUAUUACAAAUUUUCAAAUAAAAAAAAAAGUACAGAUUGACAAACAGUAGAUGAUGUCAACAAAUAUAAAGGAAAUGGGAAUGAAUAGAAAUAUCGACAGCUGCCAUGGGUCUGCCAAAGUGUAUUUGCAAUUAGCUAACCUGAGAUGCAAUUCCUAACUCAACAGAGGAGCCAAUGGUCAAAAGGAAUAACAAAAAAGCAAUCACAUAUUGCCAGAGUGUUGUUGGCCCCGGUUCAGAGACCUCUUUUCGCAGCAGACCAAAGCUAACACGUGGUCCACCACGGGGAUCUGGUCCUUCGGAAUUGGGUUCCUCAACCAUGAAAAAAUUGUAUUUAUCACCUGUGAUCUCAACUAACCGACUCUGAAGUUUGGCAUAUACAUCUUCUCUCUUUCCCCUUAGAUUUCCAAGAAAAAGAAUGCCCUCUCCCAAAUCUCCAAAGGGCUCUUCUUUGGUCACCCAAAAUGUUGAAUAGCCAAAUAGAUUUUCCUUAAUUAGCUUUACAUCAGCAGGGUCAACUUUUUCGGGUCCAAGAAGCUCCAUCAGUUUGAAAGAGUCAAUUUGAAAAUUAUUAUGGGCUGAUCCAACCGGAGAUAUAGUUGGCGGCUGAAAACAGGCGAAAAACAUCAGAACAAGAAUAGUUAUCUCAGGAUAUUACAUAACACAAAAACACAUUCAUAUCCUUUUCAGUCUUAUACUCUCCCAGACUCUAUCUUUAUACAUGUCAUUAGUAUACGUGUGUCUAGUUUUAUAUGUGAAAGAAGUGAACCAGCAUGACUCAUUGGUGGAAAGGGAUGUUGAAUAACACGACUACCAACCAGAAAUCAAGUACUUGGAUAAGGCAGGUUUUAGCAGAAGGCAACUAAAUUUUCAUUAAAAUUCUAAGGCAGAAAUGCUGGAGUUUGACAGAAAAUAUGUCGCUUGAACUGUAUAUUGUUUGCGAAUAAAUCAAGUUAAAAAACCAUGCAUUACCUUAUCUUGCAUCUGACUAGUUGUUAACAUUUUCUAUAUGCAGAGCUUGAUAUAAAAUAGAAUUGAAACUCUAUGGACUUAGAAAAACCUUGACCAUACAACAACUUUGUGCAGACUUGGUCUAGAGCAUCUUCAUUGAUUACUUAUUGCCAAUUCAUUAUAUAGCAACCAAAUCAAAGAUUUUUGCUUGAGAGCUCCAUUUCCAACUUGAAGACUCCAAUUCCGUAUAACCAAAGUAAUCACAAAGAUAUUGUAAAAAACUCACAAUGAUCAUUCUUGAUUGAGAUAUCCCUCUUUUACAUAGCAAUCACACAUCUCGUGCUUGAGCAAAUUACCGACCACUUAAAUAAGAAUUACAUGGUUUCAUGCAAGACCUUUAUACAAGAAUACCCAAUUCAUCAACCAUUUAUGCCAAGCAUAUGCAUAAAGCAUGUGAAGGGAUCACUCAUAACUUCCACAUUUUCAAUCUACAAAUUGCUUCCCAAGUUAUGAAAUAUUAUUAUAACAUCAUUCAAGUAGCAAAACUUUGAAAUGAAUGCGUAGAGACGCUGUUUGUUAUUGAGAUAUUGAGAUUGUGUAGCUGUAACUUUUAAACUACAGAACUAAAGUGUGCUUUAUAAAUUAAGUUGAUUUAAUCAAUUACUUUUAUAAUGAAAAAUCUAUAAUCUGUUCAUUAUUUUUAGCAUAAUAAUUAAUUAAAAAUCAUGUUAACUUUUAUACUACUAACUUUUAUUUUAUAAUCACGGCAGCUACUGCUUAAAAACUACUGCACCUAAAUAGCAAACAGGGCCAGAAGUACCCAGAAGAAAAUGAAAAGGAGAAAAAUGUAC